AUGAGUGUAGCGUAGCCCAGUGUCUUGUGGAGAAGAAAGCUGAUUUGUUUCUUAUGUUGGCAGGCGAAGCAGGUGCAGAAGUGCGUGGAGGCACUGGACGUGCUCAAGGUGUCGAACCCGCGGCUGCAGACGGUAGUGGUGACCACCAAAUGGGAGACGUUCGACAACAGCCCCCCGGUCACCACCAAGUGGGAGAUCUUCGACUGAAUUAAGCAGCAGCAGCAGAGAUUUUUCUUUAUACAGAAGAGUGUCUAUUUUCGUGCCGUCAGUUUUGGUGUCUUGUUCCUUGCCCAUUAUUCGUUUUUGUAAUCGCGCUGAGCUGGUUUAGGUUAGUAGGUCGCAGGAGGACCCCGAAUCCCACUGUUUGUAAUCAUCGUCGUCGUCGUCACACCCGCUCGAUUGAUGGAUCUCACUCCAAUAAACAGCAAAGCAGCACUGUUCUUUAGUGUGCUCCCGAAAGUGCAUUGUGUACUGAUGGUGUGGAGAUUUGUGCGGGAAGCAAUGGUUGAUGGGUUUCACUCACAGAUAAGCUAGCAUAUGGGAUUAUGUUACGCUCUUCGGAGCUACUAGCACCGUACUAGUGGCGACGCGUAAACUGUUUGUGAGAACUUUAUGAUCCACGUUCGCUUCAAAAAUUUCACUCUGUUUUUUGAACUCUACGUAAGAACUCUAUGCUCUUUCAAAUGUGUGCAUUUGUAUUUGUGCAAACUCUAUCCUCUUUCAAUGCAUUUGUAUUUGUGCAAACUGCAUGUAGCACACGAAGUGUAUGUGUGUUGUUUGUGUGUAAUCUUCUUGAAUUAUAAUAGCAUGCGAAGUUCAUGUUUCAGAAAUUCAUAAGUUCACGUGGACCACAUCCUGAAGAAAUUCAUCAAUGAAAAAAAGUGACUGCCUAGGCCAUUCCACCGACAGCAAAAAAUGUCGUGAUAAAAAAAUAAAACAGCAUAAAAUAUAACAUAGUAAGUUCAUAGAAAUGGUGGAAAAACAUAAUUUUGUUUUGCAAGUUUAAUCAUUUCUAAAAAAUACCUUGAAGUUCAAAUUUAAAUAAUAGGGCGGUUUCAAUGUUUAUUACAAACCUGUAAUUUUCCCCGUUACUAUAGAAUAAACCAAGAACUUCAAAAACUAAAAGUGGAGCAGUGCGAAAUGUUUAUAAAAAAUGGUGUUUCUACAUUUUACUAAAAAAUUGGAGACGUUCACAUUUAAAAAACAUAGAAGUUCAAAAUAUUUAUAAAAAACCAAGAAGGUCAAACUAAGAAAACCGAGCAGUUUAAAAAGUUUGUAAACAUGGAUCUGCCAGUGUUUUUUUAAUCUAGAAGUUCAACUUUAAAUACUUGAGCAGUUCGAUAUUUAUUACAUAACUAGGACUUUUCCUGUUACUAAUGAAUAACACCAAGAAAUCCAAAAUUAAAAAUAUAUGAAGUUGUUCAAUGUUUAGAAAAAACUCAGAUUUUCCCCAAUGCUAAAGAUUAAAACCAAGAAAAAAAGGAGAGCGGUUCAAUCUCUAUAAAAACUCAGAUAUUUUCAUGUAACCAAAAGAGAAGUUCAGAUUGAUUACUGCGAGAAGGUCACAUACUACACGCCGUGCAUUUGAUAUUAAAAAGAAGAAUGAAAAAGCAAAGGCUGAAAUUUUUGUUGCUAGAAGUUCAAGUGCUCGGCCAGAGAAAAUUCAAAAAUUCGUGUGACAGAGGUUGAAUAAAAAUACGUGACAGAAGUUCAAGGUGAAAACAGUGGGAAGUUCAACUACUACACGGAAUGCGUUUCAGAUAAGAAUAUAAGAAUAGAGACCAAAAUGCUUAAAAGGUUUGUUGAAAGAAGUUCAAGUGCUCUGUCUGGGGAAGUUCAAAAAUUCUUGCGAGAGAGGUUCACCUUGUAUUUCCAUGUUCAAAAACACAAAAAGAAAUUGUGUUCUAAUUCUCUCAAUCCAAAAAGAAGUUUUAGUUAUUAUUUGGGAGUAAUGUGAUUUCUGAAAAAAUCAAAUUAUAAAAAUGGAAAAAGUUCAUGUACUACAUGGUGUGUGUUUAAUAUGAGAAAAAUGAAUUAAAAGGCAAGGUCCAAAUUUUUAAAGAAAACUCAGAUUUUCCUCGUUAUAGAAAACUCAGAUUUUCCUCGUUAUUAAAGAAUGGAAACAAUGAGUUCAAAAAUAAAAUAACAAGAAGUUCAACUUUUAAAAAUAGAGCGCUUCAAAAUUUCAUAAAAAAGAUUAGGAAAUAAAACCAGGAAGUCCAUAUUAAAAAGAUGGAGAAGUUCGAUGAUUAUAGAAAACUCAGAUUAUCCUCCUUAUUAAAGAAUGGAAACAAGAAGUUCAAAAAUAAAAUAAAAAGAAGUUCAACUUUUAAAAAUAGAGCUCUUCAAAGUUUCAUAAAAAAAGGAUUAAGAAAUUCAGAUUAAUAUUCAUAAAGAACUCAGAUAUUUUCACGUAACCGAUAGAAGUUCAAAUUGAUAACUUCCAGAAGUUCACAUACUGCACACCACGGUGUGCAUUUUGUAUUAAAAAGGGAAUAAAAAAGCAAAGAUUAAAAGUUUUGUUGUUAUAAGUUCAAGUCCUCGGUCGGAGAAAGUUAAAAGAAUUAUUGUGAGAGAGGUUUGUACAAAAGGAAUAUCAUUUGUGUAACACUGACGAAGGGAUGAGAAAAUUCAAACGAAAAUACGUCACAGAAGUUCAACGUGAAAACAGCAGGAAGUUCAACUACUACAGUGAAUGAAUUUCAAAUUAAAAACUUUUAAAAUUGCCGCGAGUAUGAAGAAAUGAUCAACACGGGAAAGUUGCGUGUUUACAACAGAUUUCCACCGGUAUAUCAUUUGCUCAAUUCUGGUGAGUAUUUCGGUGAGUGGAUGGAGAGCUGCGGGCAAAAAAACACGUGAAAAACAGAGUGAAGUUCAAGUAGACAUGUCGAGAAGUUCAAGUUUAUUCACGCGGUGCAUUUUCAAAGAAUCUGUUCCGCAAUAAAGGCAGAACGAAUGAUACCGCCGUUUUCAAAAUUACUUGAAAACGGCUAGGAAUGAGAGAAAACCAUCAACAUAAAAAAGUUUCACGUUUUCCGUAGCUUUUCAAUGGUAUAUUAUUUGCCCCAUUCCGAUAAAGUUUGUAAAAAUUAUGGCGAAAAUACAUUUUUUAGCCAUUUUCAAAAUUGACUUAAAACCGUAAGGAACUGGGAGAAACAAUAUAUACCAAAAAGUUUUGCAUUUCCUCAAACUUUCCAACGCCAUAUCAUUUGUAGCAUUCGGACGUACGUUUAAAAAAUUAGCUCGAAAAUAUGAACUCGAUGGAACUUAUAUUGUUUUCUAAAUUACUUUUUAACCGUUCAAAAUUAGAAACAACUUUUAACAUGAAAAAGUAGCGCAUUUUCAUAAGCUUUCCAAUGCCAUAUCAUUAGCCUCAAUUGGAUUAGCUGUUUAGAAAUGACAUCGAAAAUACAAACUCGGCUGUUCGGUUUGCGAAAUUUCACGAUUUUCUAAAUUACUCUUUAUCCAUUGGGAAUUUGAGAAAACUUUCAACAUGUGGAAGGAGCGGUUUUGCAGCGGCUUUCCAACGCCAUAUUAUUUGCCUCAUUCCGAUAAAUGGUUUAGAAAUUCGAUCGAAAAUACGAUUCACGUUUUUUGUAUAAAGGAAAAACGGUUUUCAAAACUGCUCUUAAACCGCUUAUAUUUCGCCAAAAAUUUAACUUGGGUCAUGAUACUGAUGUCCGUAGCUUUCCAACGGUAUAUCGCAAGCCCCAUUUGGGCAAUGUUGGCGGAAAUUCAACCUAGCACAGGGGGGAAGUUUAGGAUGAACAACUCAGGCAGUAAAAUUGCAAAAAACACAAUUUCAUCACGACGAGAGCAAAAUCCGUCAACGAGCGAGAUUCCUAUUUAAAACGGGCAUUUAGUUGCUAAAAACGUUUCUAGAUUACACUAACAUCGUAUAGAACACAAUUAACCAGAAUAAUUCGCGGUAGAAGGCACAGUUGCGAAGAUAGCCCGAAGGUCGGGUUCGUACAAAGGGAAGUUCAGGCGCGUUACUCAGGCAGUUCAGGUUGUGAUCAGAAUAUUAUUCUGAUCCCGUGAUCAAAAUAGUGUUUAUGUAUGUAUAUCCCUAUAUAUAUAUAAAACUUAUUCUUCACCUAGUGUUUAUGUAUAUAUAUAGGGAUGUUAUUCAUCACCUAGGGUUUAUAUAAUUUUAAAAGUUGUGAUCAGAAUAUUAUUCGUACAAAUAGUGUUUAUGUAUAUAUAGGGAUGUUAUUCAUCACCUAGGGUGCAGAAUAAGUUAUUCUUCACCCGAGGUAAUCUUACAAUCACUUCAUAAUUAAAUUACAUUUGGAAUUCAAAUAGUUACAUUCCUAUUGAUUUAGUACGUAAAUUUUGGUAUAAAAAAUAAUAAUAUAGGUCAUAAGACAAGAAAAUUUGGAGUUUAUGUAUAUUUUACACUAUGUUUUUACGUUUGUAAUUUUACAUAACAUAAAAUAUUUUUUUACGGCGAUUAUAUAUUUUAUUACGGUCUCUUUUUACGUCAGAAAUAAGACAAAACUUACGGAACGUAAAAUUACAGUGCAUUGGUGGUAAAAUAGAGGGGGUGAUGAAUAACUAUUUUUCACCCAGGGUAACGAAUAGUCAAUCGAUGCUAUUCAUCACCCAGGGUGCAGAAUAAGUUACUCUUCACCUGAGGUAAUCUUACGAUCACUUCAUAAUUAAAUUACAUUUGGAAUUCAAAUAGUUACAUUUCCUUUGAUUCACUACGUAAAAUUUGGUAUAAGAAACUAAAAAUAUAGGUCAUAAGACAAGAAAAUUUGGAGUUUAUGUAUAUUUUACACUACGUUUUUACGUUUGUAAUUUUACACAACAUAAAAUAUUUUUUACGGCGAUUAUAUAUUUUCUUACGGUCUCUUUUUACGUCAGAAAUAAGACAAAACUUACGGAACGUAAAAUUACAGUGCAUUGGUGGUAAAAUAGAGAGGGGUGAAGAAUAACUAUUCCUCACCCAGGGUGAUGAAUAGUCAAUCCUAUAUAUAUAUAUGGCUUCAAGUGCGUACUUGUUGGUGAAAGUGUUGUCCAAUGGGAAUUAUAUUUUGUAUUACUCAUGUAGCCUACAAAGCCUGUCGCAUAGCCUUGUAACUUCUUGCUCCAUUUCUAAAUUUGUACUAGUCCUCUAUGCCGUAUAUUGCGCCACUCGUACUACUACCUCCCUCCUGGUUUAUUGGUCCCCUUCGUAAUUUGUGUCAAAUUUUGACCAUAAAUUUCACUAACUAAAUGUUAAUGCAUGUCACAAAAAAUCAUAUCGUUUUAUUCGUAUUUGAACAUAGUUUCCAAUGGAAUAAUUUUCGGUGAAAUGCAUUGACAUUUUGCUAGUUAAAUAUACGGUUAAAAUGUGACACUAAAUACGACUAGUAAGUACUUGUACAGUAGCAGUACUAGUAUACGUCGGUCAAAUUAUUCAUCAUGUCAUCACAUUGAAUUGACGUGACAACACGCUGCGCGUGAGGUGACACAAGAAUCCCGGCGACGUGUUCGGGUAUUGUGGACUUUAGAUUUGGAGUACUACCACUUAUUUAUCGAAAUCUUUCAUCAUUCACUUAAAACAGUCGAUUGAUCAUACAUUGAGUACCAUAUAACUGGAAUUAACCGAUGCAACUCCAAGAAGGAUUGGCCGGUGCUGCCAGCUGGCGUCAAGUUCGAUACCACGGAUUAGGAGCUGAUCGAGCACCUUGAGGCCAAAGUGAGUGCUGUCAGCAUGAGAUCUCACCCUCUCAUCGAUUUUUUCAUACCAACCAUCGACAGCGAGCACGGCAUAUGCUACACCCAUCCUGAGAAACUUCCAGGUAAGACACCGAUCGGCCGUCUACUUGCACAAACAUAUUCUUUGUUUAUAGCUCUAUUUUUCUUUUUAGACGCAGACCUAGUGAAGCAAUUACAAUUUGACUGUUAAUAAAAAGUGAAACAAGUGACUGCAACAUGCCAAAGAUGUUAUGAAAAUGCCAACUACGUACACUAAAACCUGUAUUCGACAAUACUACAGGUAUCACACUGAGUGGCCUAUGCAAGCAUUUCUUCCAGUGCAAUUCCAGGGCGUUCAAAAGGGGCACGUGGACGCGUCUCAAGAUACAGUCAGAGUGCGGCAUGCACGCGAUGUGGCACAAGACCGGCAAUACCUUGCCGGUUAUGGUCAAUGGCCGGCAGACGGGCAGCAAAAAGGUUCUGGUGCUGCACACCAACAAGAACUUCGACCAUUCCCGCAAAAAAAAAGAACUUCGACCAGCAGAGGACCAACUGGGUGAUGCACCAGUACCACCUAGGGGACCUGGAGCAAGAGAAGGAGCGGGAGCUGGUCCUCUGCAAGAUUUUCUACCAGACCAACACUAGGGCCAGGACGAAAAAGAUUAUAAGUUAGUUUGGUUUUGGUACUUGUACUACCUUGUCGUCCGCAAGUUGGUAUCGUUGUUAACGAUCUUUCGGUAUGAAUUUGGCAUUUGCUUCCAACCAUCAUGCCGAGGGUCGACGUGGAUAUAAAGCCGAAUCAUUUCUUUCGAAAUGAAUUUUCAGGCACCUGAUUUUUAUUUGAUGGGUAGCAUAAGCACCUCCCAUUCGAAUUCCCAGUUCUCCAAAUUUUUCGAAACAAGUGCAUGCACUUAUUAUCAUGAUGAAAAAACAAUAUACCUGCUGCAUCCCAGUUAUCAGUCUGUACUUGCGGAAUUCUCUCGUUUAUUGAGCAGGUAUAUUGUUUUUUCAGGUCGAGCAAGUUUCAACUGGGCUGUAGACUGCCCAGGCUUGGUUUUGUUUUCAACAGGCCCAGCCCAUGACGACAACGGGGCACAAAGAUCCAACAGCAGGUAUCUACUGGCCUCUGGCCCCCAGCAUUAGUUAUAUUUUGUCUUACAACAUCCGCAUGCAGUUUUUUACUGAAUCAAACACACAACCCAGUUCUGUUUUCCUCUUGAAACGCCAUGUCCUACUUCCGUUUUCUAAUAUCUACCUAUAGGUUUACUAGUUCAUAUACACAUAUCAUUGUAUUUAAAAUACAUAAUGUUCCCUUUACAUAUUUACAUCCUUAUUUUUGUUGUUGUUUUCCCUCCCAGCGCUGAUUUUUUUACCACUGGUUUUCCCUUAAACCAACUCAAUUGUCCCACGUCUUGUUUGCUUACAAAAACAAAACGAUUUUUUUGGCAAAUCAAUAAGUUCUUAAAAAAUGUUUAUCAUUUCAGGAUUACAACAGUUUCGACUCCACCGAAAUAUGCAAAAUAAGGUUGAACUUUUUGACCGUUGUCCUGGGCAGAAAAUGGGUUGUAAUAAAUUACUUAAGAAUUAGCAAAUGGGCUGCAAAUUAUUAAAAAAAUAGCAAAUGGGCUCUAUGUUGUCUGCCACUGAUUUGGAGGCUGACUUGUGGGCCUACUAAGUUCAUGCGUACACAAGGUCUCUUAAAAAAAGAAACUUAGUCAACAAUCGACUCUACUAGUGUCAUACCGUUAGAUGUCAAUCUAACGGCAACUGUGCUUCUUCAGUCUCUGAUCUUCCGGCUCCAGCCGCCCAAACCAGCGUCGGCGGAACCGCUUGCUCCUGCCUCCCGUGGCCGGCUGUGCUGCCGGGCAGGCCUCACGGCCCCACCAUACUCGCAUCUCUGGCCUGGCUAUCCCUCUACUCACCCACACCUCCUGUUAUUUUCCGGCGACGGCAGCCGAACCAGUCAACCCUCGUACUCCCCACCGCAUGGGCACCCAGUACCGUAUCUUCCCCGGCUCCAUGUCGUUCCCUCGUAGGCCUCGCCGUCGUCCACCGCCCUGGUGCUCUCGACGCGGCGUGGCAACGUGGUCAACGAACAACAUCCAUUGGAAGUGGACUAUGCGUGGAGAGGCUGACAGUUGGGUCCAUGGCCGCACACAAGGACAUGCCUCCUUAUUACACGCAAAAUAAUGAUUCCUCCACCUAACAUCUGGGACCAACCGAGAGGGCCUCUGUAUUUCGUGAAAAAAACGUUCCCGCCGCUGACAGCUCGGACCCACCAGCUAUAUCUUCGCACGCAAGGAAGUGCUUCCUUAUUACGCACAAAAAAAGAAUACUCCCCCUGCUAGCUGGGACCCACCAUAUGGGAAGCUGACUUGUGGGCCUACUAAGUUGACGUAGACGGAUGGGUUUGUCAACUUAGUCAAUAUGAACGAUUCUAACACAAGUGACUGUUGGAUUGUUAACAUCCAACGGUCGUCCCGCUUCUUCAACCUCUGAUUUUCUUGCUCCAGCCAUCCAAACCACCGCGUGCUAUUGUCUCCCGUGGCCGGCUGUGCUGCCGAGGAGGCCUCACCGCCCCUACUACUCCCACGGCUGGCCAGGCCCUGCAGCGACGACAGCCUCACACCGAAGCCGAACUAGUGAACCCUCGUACUCCUCUCCGUGUGGGCAUCCAGUGCCGCGUCUUCUCCGGCUCCGCGGUAUCCCCUUCCUAGGCCUCACCGUCAUCCACUGCCUUGGUGCUCUAGGCUCGGCGUGGUAAACGUGGUCAAGAAUGACUUCCAUCGGAAGAGUAUUGUACGUGGAGAGGCUCACAGCUGGGUCCACGACAGCAGCAAGGAAGUCCUCCUUAUUACGCGCAAAAUAAUUAUUCCUCCACCUGACAGCAGCGACCCACCGGACGGGCCACCGUAUUUCGUGAAAAAAAGUUCCCCCCUGAUUGCUGGGACCCACCAGCUACAUCUUCGCACGAAAGGAAGUGCUUGACAGCCAGGACCCACCUGGUCGAAGCGCACGUAGCGUUGUCAUUCUGGUCGCGAAUGUGUACGUAUAUACGAUCGGUCUGUCUGCAGGCUGCAGCGAUGAACCAUGGCCGUGUAAGGAAGGGCACGUGUUGUAGUAUAGGCGUGCACGUGCCGUAGUAGAGGCGCGCAUGUAGCAUGUACACGUACGUACAGGCAGGGUGCAAGAAAGAAAAUACGGCGACACACGUACAUACGAGCGGGGUCUCGAACGCCUACUCACGCAUAUGUACGGCCAGGGCCCGUGUACAUGGCUGGGUCGGAACAGAGAAACUGCGUCGUCGUCGUGUUCAUGGGGAGGCAACGGAACACGCCGUGUUCAUCGGGAGGCAAUGGAACGCGUGCUGUUCAUCGUGAGCCAACCGGCUUGGACGGAACAGCUGAUGGAAACGAGGCCUGGCGUACCGCAAAACAGAGGAAACGGCCUUGUUCGACCGGCCACGGUCGAAACGGGAUCCUGUUCAUCGGGAGGGGUCUGGCGUACCACAAAAUGGAGGAAACAGACUUCUCUUGGUCGAAACGGGGUCCUGUUGAUCGGGAGGGGUGUGGCGUACCGCAAAACGGAGGAAACGGACUUGUGUUGGAGCGCUACAGUCGAAACGGGGGUCCUGUUCAUUGUGACGGGUGUGGCGUACCGCAAAACGGGACUCCACGGGAUACUGUUCAUCUCCACCGGCGACUGCCUCCACGGGCUACUGUUCAUCCACCGUCGACCUCCUCGAGCCUCCACCUGCGACUGUUCAUCCACGGAUUCCUGUUCAUCCAGCCUCCACCGCGCGCUCCUCCAUCGGCUACUGUUCAACCAGCCCUCUCCACGGGGUCCUGUUCAACCACCCCUCCACGGGCUACUGUUCAUCCAGCCCUCCACUGGCUACUGUUCAACCAGCCCUCCACGGGGCCGUCCUGUUCAUCCAGCCCUCCACGGGGUCCUAUUCAUCCAGCCCCCAACCGGCACGAUCGAUCGUGGUCCUGUUCAUCCAGCGGCAACACCACGAGUCCUGUUCAUCCAACCCCCCAUCAGGAACUGUUCAUCCAAAACCCCAACAACGCUCACUUUUCAUCAAGAUGAAGCAUUGAUCGACUUCAGUUAGUAGCAGUAGCGAAGGAAUCACUCGGGUUCAGUUAACAGCAAGGGAUCGAUCGCUUGGGUUCAGUAAUGUAGGUAGUGUAAUCGCUCUGGUUCAGUUAGAGCCCGACGCCUCGCUCGGGUUCAGUUAGAGCACAACGCCUCGCACAUGCACGUACGUGUACGAGAGAAACGCGCAUCGCUCGACCCCCGACCACCCACCGUAACCGGGAAUUCCCCGAUAUUUUCCUUGCCCUCGCUUCUACCACGGUUUUUUUUCCGUCAUGGACGGUCCAAAGAAUGACAUGCAGCUGCGUCUCCAGCCCGCCCAGGACGAAAAUCCCAUUUUCUGUCAUGAUUUUUGUCAUAGAAGUAGGAGCCCACCACAUUUGUGAUGAUACCGGGUUUUUUCACAAUUAUUGUCAUAGAAGUGUCAUAAGCAUGACAUAAUUUUUUUUCGUUCGGCCCAAAAUGUCACGGAUGUGUCUUUUUUUUGUAGUGGGGGCCUUCGUGGAGACUGUCAAGACGUGGCAGCGGGAGUGGUUCUACAUCACCGAACCUCGCGGCACCAAGUGGGCGGCCGCUCCUGCUUUCAGAUCUGGACCCCUGCUCCGGCUUGCAUCGUGGACCAACACGGGUCUGGACUGGGGAUCAUCCAACGAGGUGUUGAGGUUGCAAAAGCGCAUCAAAAGUAUCAUAGAGAAGGACAUCAGCCUCACUGACGUGGUCCAGGUGAUGCUCAUCCGCCGAACCCUUCCCUGCCAAUGCCGGCCUCUCCGCAUGUGUGAGUUCAAUCCGGAAGGGCUGCGGACCCUGCAGCUAUUCUUCGGCAUGAUGCACGAAGUGGCAGUUUUUAAUUUCUUCAAGUUGAGGUGGAGUUUUAGCACAUGUCCAAACACUCACAAUACAUAUCAAGCAAACAUGACAAGAGUAUAUGGGCAGCGGAAAGUAAAGCAUGCAAUUUUGCAAGAAUGUAAAGGGAUGGGAUUGGAGUGUGCAAAUGCAAUUGGAGACGCGGAGAUUUUUGGCGUGGUUCCGAUAGGUGGUGCUAUCGUACAUCCACGUUGAUGGAGACUUCAGACCACAAAGGGUAACGGUUGCGCGAGUCCACGGAGGGCUCCACCCACGAAGGGUCCACGAAGAAGCAACCUUGUCUAUCCCACCAUGGCCAUCGCCCACGAAGGGCUUGCCUCACUAGGGUAGAUCUUCACGUAGUAGGCGAUCUCCUUGCCCGUACAAACUCCUUGGAUCAACUCCACAAUCUUGACGGAGGCUCCCAAGUGACAUCUAACCAAUCUAGGAGACACCACUCUCCAAAAGGUAUUAGACCGUGUGUUGAUGAUGAACUCCUUGCUCUUGUGCUUCAAAUGAUAGUCUCCCCAACACUCAACUCUCUUUCAUAGGAUUGGAUUAGGUGGAAAUGUGAUUUGAGAGGAAAGCAACUUGGAGAAGGCUAGAGAUCAAGAUUUAUGUGGUUGGAAUGGAAUAUCUUGACCUCAACACAAGUGUAGGUGGUUCUCUCUCAGAAAAUGUAUGUUGGAAGUGUAGGCAUGUUCUGAUGGCUCUCUCCACGAAUGAAGAGCGAGUGGAGGGGUAUAAAUAGCCUCCAUACAAAAUCUAACCAUUACACACAAUUUACCAAACUCGGUUGGACCGAAUCAGAAAACCCGGUCAGACCGAUUUAGUUCAUAAUGUGACCGUUAGGCAUUUCGGUGGGACCGAUACGAUCAACUCGGUAGGAUCGAUGUGCCAGGAUUAGGGUAAAGCCUCAUCUCGGUUUGACCGAUGACACAAACUCGGUGGGACUGCUUUGUGUAAUAAGUGAAACAAAGAGUUGGCCAAGCAAACUCGGUGAGACCGAUUGCAUAUCUCGGUGAGACCGAAAUUAUUGCAGUAGGCAACAGAGAGUUUGCAAGCCCAUCUCGGUGAGACCGAGAUCCCAUCGGUGAGACCUAAUUGAUUAGGGUUUCUGGCAGUGGCUAUGUCAACUGAACUCAGUGGUGCCAGAUAGAAAGAUUCGGUAGGGCCGAGUUUGACUUUUGGUUUGGGACAUAUGUGGAAGUGAGAAAGUGGUUGAGGGUUUUGGAGCAUAUCACUAAGCAUUUUGAGCAAGCAAGCCAUUAAGCAACACCUCAUCCCCUUUUAAUAGUAUUGGCUUUCCUAUGGACUCAAUGUGAUCUUGGAUCACUAAAAUAGAAAAUGUAGAGUCCUGAGCUUUGAGCUUGACCCGAUUCUUUGUCCUUAUCAUCUUGAAGGGGUUCCACAUCCUCUAGUCCUUGCCACUCCAUUUGUUGAACUUGUCUUAAAUAUACUAGAUGAAAAAAUUAGUCCAACAAGGGAUAUGUUGACAUUAAUUACCAAAAUCACCCAGGGAGCACUUGUGCUUUCAAUCUCCCCCUUUUUGGUAAUUGAUGACAACAUACAUCAAAGCUUUAGAUAAAGAUAAAGAGAAUAACAAGUAAAGCUUUGGAAAGACAUGUAACAUGCAUAGGCUCCCCCUACAUGUAUGCAAUCAUGUCAAUAUAGAAUGUGAAUGCAUAAUCAUGACAGAGCAGGCAAUGUGUUACAUGUAUCUUGGUUAUAUGCAUCAGAGCAAAUGAUAUGAAGUGUAAUUUCAUGUUCAUAAUUCUUCUUGCAAACAAUAUGUACAUUAGCAAGAAAUCCUCAUGCACAUGAGGGUGAUGCAUAUACUUACCUUGUGGUCUUGAGCUGGCUUAGGAAGAGAUGAACCUGAGUAAACAAGGUUAGAUAACACAGAAACAUCUACUAAACUGAGCAAAUACACGAAACCACAAGAGUACCAAGACCGGGAUGACAUGUAAAGAGUGAUAUAGAUAUGUUCCCAAAGAUAAAAGAUAUGCAAUGAAUUCAAAGACUUCCUUCCCUAGCAGUCUUUCUCCCCUUGAAUCUUAUAUGGAUAAUGGGAGAAAAUAGGGAAACAACAUCAGAGCAAAACUGAUCAUAACAUAAUCAUGUCUUUCCCCUCUUAAAGAUAUGUGACUUCUCUCCUCUUGAACACCGAGCAUCUGGGGCAUUUGAUGAGAUUUCCUCUCUCCCCUUGUUUGAAGUAUUCUCUCCCCUUUUGAAGGAUUUAAGCUUUGAUGUGAUCUCUCUCCCCCCCUUUGACAUCAAUUUCCAAGAAGGGAUCUUCUGGAGUGUGAGUCAAAAUAGGUUUGGUCCUUGAGUCACAGAGCAAAGCAGCAUGUAAAAUGUGAUGCUGGUAGAGUACAAAAAUCAUUGAGUGGAGCUGGAACAAAAAACAGGAACAAGUGGCAAAUUGUUUUCUUUGCAGUGAAAUCGGUGACACCGAGUUGUAGUCUACGGUGGUACCGAAUUGGUUCGGUUUUAACCGAAAACAACAGACCGGUGUGACCGAGUUCAACACAGAGAGAACACUCGUCACCUCAGCUCACUAGGCAAAUAAGAUCUCACAAGGAUUUAAAAGGAAUUAACUAAAGGAUUUGCAAUGAAUUGGAUGCAGAAAAUGCAGAACAAAAUAGAUAAAAGAAAAACUAGAUGAGGUGUUUUUUUUUGAUAAAAGAAGGGGAAUAAAUAUGCAAAGGACAAAUGCAAAAACUCAGAGAAACACUAGAGAACUUCAUCUAGAAUUGGGCGGUGACAAAGUCACCUAUGUUAGAGUAUAUUCACUAAGGAGUCAAGUGAGAGCACUUGAUCAUAAGUCAUACUCAUCGUUUAAGCUCAGAAUGGGGUUACCAUUUUUUGUUUAAGCAUUUGAUGUAUUCACAUCUUGUUGAGCUGCUUUGACCCAUAUCUUAAGGUAAAGCUUCUCUAAGAUGGAAUAACAUACCUUGGGUGGUGGUGUUGAUCUUGAUCACGUAGUUGGACUUGUGUGGAGUGCUCGAGGUUGAUGUAGCACAUCAAUGAUUGGGAGCACCACUUGGAGUUGAGUUCAUCAACCUACAUGGGAUAGUUUUACAAGGAAGAGCACUUGUGUAUCCAAAAUGACAAUCAUGAAAUUUGAUACCAAAUGAAAUUCGAUAUAUCGAAUUUGUCAAAGGAUAUGUUGAAGAGUUUCAUGCUUCCUUGUCUUCAACCACCAUGUUGUAGAGACUUGGUGAUGUAGAGAUUGCUCAAGAUGUGAGUGAGUUGCAAUCUCAUAGAUUUAGAUUCAUCCAAGUACCUACAAGGGUUAAAUAGCAUGCAAGGGUGCAAGUAUAUCCAAGACAUAUGAAUAGUAUCAUGAAAGAAAUAUCAAGGAUUAGUCAAAGGCUCUUGCCUUGCAUGUAUGGAAAUGGAGUUCCUACUCCAAGUUUGUAGCAUCAAUGAUGUUCAAUUCACCUCUCAAACGGAAAAAGACUUUCUCAUCAAGCGGUUUGGUGAAUAUACCCGCCAAUUGCUUAUCGGUACGAACAUGCUUAAGAUCAAUGUCCCCUUUAGCAACAUGAUCUUGAAUGAAAUGAUGACGAACUUCAAUAUGCUUUGUUCGAGAAUGUUGCAUGGGAUUGUGAGCAAUCUUAAUAGCACUUUCAUUGUCACAAAGCAAUGGCACAUGUUUCACAUAUAUCCCAUAAUCGUUAAGAGUUUGGGUCAUCGAAAGUAAUUGAGCACAACAUGAUCCAGCGACAAUGUAUUCCGCUUUGGCGGUAGAUAAGGAAACCGAGUUUUGUUUCUUGGAGGACCAGACACAAGAGAUCUACCACGAAAUUAACAAGUACCCGAAGUGGACUUUCUAUCAACCUUGUCUCUGGCAUAGUCCGAAUCGGAGUAGCCAACAAGAUCAAAAGAGGACCUCUUAGGAUACCAAAUGCCAAAAUUUGGUGUAUGUAUUAAGUAUCUCACUAUCCUUUUCACAGCCUUAAGAUGACAUUCUUUAGGGGCCACUUGAUAUCGUGCACACAUGCACACACUUAGCAUAAUAUCGGGACGGGAUGCACAUAGAUAUAGUAAUGAACCAAUCAUAGAGCGGUAAACCAAUUGAUCAACCGGUUCACCGUCCUUAGUCAAAUCAAGAUGUCCACUAGUAGGCAUGGGUGUUUUCAUACCUUUGCAUUCUUGCAUAUUGAACUUCUUGAAUAAGUCCUUGGUGUACUUUGUUUGAGAGACAAAGGUACCUUCCUUAGUUUGCUUGAUUUGCAAACCAAGAAAGAAUUUGAGUUCACUCAUCAUAGACAUCUCAAACUUCUUUGACAUUAGCUUCCGAAACUUUUCACUAAAAUGAGGGUUAGUCGAACCAAAUAUGAUAUCAUCAACAUAAAUUUGGCACACAAAUAAUUCACCAUUAACCCUGUUAGUAAAAAGAGUAGAAUCUAUUUUUCCAAUCUCAAAGCCUUUUUCAAUAAGGAACUUGGUCAAGCAUUUAUACCACGCUCUAGGAGCUUGUUUAAGACCAUAAAGAGCUUUGUGAAGUUUGUAAACAUGAUCGGGUUUCUUAGGAUUGACAAAGCCGGGAGGUUGCUUAACAUAAAAUUCCUCCUCAAUUUCACCAUUUAGAAAAGCACUUUUAAUGUCCAUUUGGUACAAGGUGAUAUCAUGGUGAUUAGCACAGGCAAGUAAGAUGCGGAUGGACUCAAGUCUAGCAACGGGGGCAUAUGUCUCACCGUAGUCCAUACCUCCGACUUGAGUGUAGCCUUGGGAGACGAGACGUGCUUUGUUGCGGACGACUUGACCAUCUUCGUCUUGCUUGUUGCGAAACACCCAUUUUGUACCAAUGAUGUUGUGGUUGUUGUCGGGCUUCUCGACCAAUGUCCACACUUGAUUUCUCUCAAAGUUGUGUAGCUCUUCGUGCAUGGCAUUUAUCCAAUCCGGAUCUUCCAAUGCUUCUUCAACCUUCAUAGGUUCAAUGCUAGAGAUGAAUGAAUAGUGUUCACAAAAAUUAGCCAAAUGAGAUUUAGAGCGAGUGAUUCUCCCGGUUUGGAUACCAUUGUAGAUUUGCUCGACGGGAUGGUCUCUGGUGACUCUUGCUCGAACUCGUGAGAGCUUUUGCUUGGUUCGGGGUGGAACAUCUUCUUCAUGCUCUUGUUCUUCUUCUUAGCCUUAAUUAAUAGAAUUCUUUUUUUCUUCAAAUCCAAAAAAUUUCUCUUUUUUUGUUGACGUUGUCGUUCUCUUGUCGUGGUGGAGAAGGAGGUUGAUAAGGUUCUUCUUAGUGUACUUCCUCGUUUUCUUCAUCUUGGUGUGUCCCACUUGUGGAUGCUUCCGUAUCGCCUCUUGGUUCACCUUGUCGUGAGGUAGAAGCUUCCACUUGGACGGAUGAGGUACUCUCCUUCACCUCUGUUGGACGAAUCUUGGCAAUAAAAAGUCUUGGAUUGCUUUCGAAGAAUCUUUAUCUCCUACAUCAAUUGGCAAUUGCUCUACUUGCAAGCCGUUAGAUUCAUCAAACUUCACAUCUACCGUCUCUUCAACUUUUCGGGUGAAAUUGUUGUAGACACGGUAAGUGUGAGAGUUUGAGCCAUAACCAAGUAGGAAACCUUCAUGAGAUUUAGGAGCAAAUUUAGAACAACGAUGCUUAUCGAGAAUGUAGCACUUUGAGCCGAACACUCGAAAGUAUCCAACUUGGGGUUUGUUACCGGUGAGAAGCUCGUAUGCCGUCUUGCCGAGUAGCUUGUGAAGAUACAAGCGAUUUGUUGCAUGACAAGCUGUCUCAACCGCUCCGGCCCAAAAGUGUUUUGGAGUCUUAUACUCAUCAAGCAUCGUUCUUGCCAUCUCAAUAAGAGUCCUCUCAACAACUCCAUUUUGUUGAGGCGUGUACGUAGCCGAGAACUGAUGUGAAAUCCCUUCUUCGUCAAGAAAGGUAUCCACAUUUGCGUUCUUGAACUCCGUUCCGUUGUCGCUGUGAACCUUCUUGAUCUUCACUUCAAAUUGAUUUUGGGCCUUCCUAGCAAAGUUCUUGAAGAUCUUUUGGACCUGCGAUUUAUCAUCAAUAAAGAAUACCCACGUAAAUCUUGAAAAAUCAACAACUAUAACUAGACCAAAUGAGUUUCCACCGAGACUUUUGUAGGUGUUUGGACCAAAGAGAUCCAUAUGAAGUAGCUCGAGUGGUCUUCUCGUGGUCAUGAUGUUCUUCACGGUGUGACUCCCUCCAACUUGUUUUCCUGCUUGACAAGCACUACAAAGUCUAUCCUUGUCAAAUAUAACAUCUUUCACUCUAAGGAUAUGAUCACCUUUAGUAAGCUUGUCAAGAUUUUGCAUGCCCACAUGACCUAACCUUCUAUGCCACAACCAGCCUUUAGAGCAUUUAGCAACUAAAAAAGUUCUAGGUUGAGCCUUUUUAGUUAAAUCAACAAUAUAUAGAUCACCUCUACGUAUACCGGUAAAGACCAUUUUAUGAUUAUCUCUACGAAACACUUGGCAAUCUACUUUAGUAAAUAGGACAUUGAAACCAAAGUCAGCAAGUCUAGAUACGGAAAGUAAAUUGUAGCCAAGAGAUUCAACGAGCAUAACAUUUUGUAUGGAGCUAUCAUGUGAGAUGGCCACCUUACCAAGGGUAAACACCUUACCCUUUGAGUUAUCACCAAAGGUGACAUACUUUCGAGGGCCGUCGUUUUUAGCAAGCUCACGAAACAUAUCCUUGUCUCCGGUCAUAUGAUCGGCACAUCCACUAUCAAGGACCCAUUCCUUUCCUCCGGCCAUGUAGCCACGAAGAUUAGCCAUAAGACCAAAGUGUCUCAUCACAUCAUUAAAAUCAUAGUCAGUAUCAUCAUCCUUCAUAGUAUCCAUGUUCAACAUCGUCAUGUGAUGGAUCAAUUCCUAGAGAGAGUGAUUCAUUAGAAGUAUGACCGUAACAAUGUUCAUCAUUAUGAAUUCUAAUGACUUCGGAAAUGAUAUUGCUAAUAAUUCCAACAUCUCCUUUGGCGCGCAUGAGAUAACGAAGCUCAAAAAGGCAAUCAUCAAACUUAGGAUCACUAAUACUCAUCCUAUUCAAGGCAAUAGACUUAUGGAGAAUCUCAUCUAGAUUUUUCAAGGAAUAAUUUGGGAAUCGUUCCUCUAGAAAUCUCCGUAUGGUGUAAGCACAAUCUAGAGUAGGUAAGCUAGCAAUCAAAUUUUUGGGCAAUCCUCUAACAAUACGAUUGAUAGUUCUAAGAUUAAGAAUCAUGUCAAGAUCCUCAUCGGGUGUGGGAUGCAAAGGAUCAACAAGGGAAGCACAAGGAGUUGUAAUGUUCUUGUGUCGGCGUUCUGGGAACGGGGGUCCCCAAACUUGCCUGCCUGCGGCCCACGGCGUGGCUCUGCGAGCGGGCCCAUACGACCCAUCUUCACCAACAAGGAUUCCAGACCCUCCCGAGGGGCCAAGCCUCGCGAGGCGGACGACACAAGACCUCCUCGGGAGCGGCCUCACCAGGCUGCCUCGUGAGGGGCGGAGAUCAAGGCAAGGCAAAUCUCACGAGGUUCUCAUGACGUGAGCCAUGACGAUCGAGACCAGGCGGGCGCCAGGCGGGCGCCAGGCGGGCGCCAGCGCGUGCAGUGUCCUUGUUUCCUCUUUGGUGCUAAGGAGGCAAGCGCAGGCGAGGAGUACUGAGGCGUCAAGCAAAGGUUUCCAUAUCGGUGCAACGAGACCAAGACCAGCUGGACGGCAAGACAGAGGUCACCAUGGAGACCAAGGCGGCGUCACCACCAGAGCCUUUGGCAGGCGAAGACUGCUUUUGUCAGGAUAACUUGUACUAGCUGUCCCCUUUCAAAUUGGCCGUUGUGGCAUCCCUUCCCGCUCAAUAUUUGGGGAGAGGACCAGGGCCGCUAUAAAUAGGAUUAGCCACCACAGUAGGAGGCAACGGAGCCUCGGCCAUCUCAUCUUGGACUAGAUCCAACCUAUCCUCACACCCACCAAGCAGAAGAACACCUCAUCCCAGGAGGCUGUUCUUCCCCUUGUACUGUUCAUCCUCGGCCCAAGAGGCAAUCCACCACACCACAUUGGAGUAGGGUAUUACACCACAACGGUGGCCCGAACCAGUAUAAAUCUAGUGUCUCUUGUCUUGCGAGUUCAUCGAGCUAAGCUUAGAGAUCCCGGUGAGGAUGAGGGCAUGAUUCGGUAGGGGGAGAUCUUCGUGCGCACCCCAGUGUUCGAACCUUGAGGGUUGUGCCGGAACCCGAGAUCCGACAUUUGGUGCGCCCGGUAGGGUUGCGCUGGAGCUCUUCUUCCGCCAGUUGAUCCGCUUGUUGAUCCCCCGACACUCCGCGGCUCCGAUGUCUGGCGACUCAAGGACGAACGCCGACCGCUGGGCAGCCUGGCCAGCCUGGGCGGCGCCGCCCGCCCAAGAAGACCUCAACCCCGCGCCCCAGGCAGCACGCGCACCACCAAACACUGCGGGGCGUGGGUGACGCGGUCACCCGCCGUCCACCCUUACCCCACGACAAUUGCGGGCAGCCGCAAGGGCCUCAAGCCAUGCCGCGGCCACGGCGCCGCACACCCGACGGGAGCAAGCAAACAUGAGGGCCGCUCUCACAGUGGCUCGGGACCUGCUGCGAUGCCGGUUAAUGGAGAGCGGCCGAGAUGCAUUGCUAGAGCGCGUCGCCGAGCUCUUGGACGCCGCGGCCUCGAGAGCACCACCCUUCUGCUCUCUGCUCACACCUCAAGCUGCGGCCGGGUCGCAUGGCGGGCCUCACCACGCCCGCGUGCCCACGGGCGCGCCACCGGGCUUCAUCGAGACCGGCGCAACCAACGGAGCUGGACGCCCGCUCGCACCCGCGCCACCUCCGGUGGGCACGGGCACGAGCGCUGCCACCUAUGGCCUCGGCGGGAUGCAACCCUACCAUCCUCAAGGCGGCAUGCUAGGCCGGGCAACAUGGAGCGUGGGGCACUACGGCGAGGUCUUCGAGGUGGCAGCCUCGGAGGCAUACGUGCCCCGCAUGGUGGACUAGGAGUACAUGCUGGAAGACGACCCAAGCUCGUUCCUUGAGCCGGGUUGGGAGGAGGAGGAGGCGCUAGAAGUCGGCACCUUCCAGGAGCCCUCCGGAAGCCUCACCAACCACGCCGGCGACAACAGCUACAGGGUACCGCUAAUUCCUCAGGAGCAGGCUUACGCUAACAAUGGGACGCAGGAGGAUCAGGUCGCAGCCGUGGAUGGCGGCCCCAGCUCGUCGGCCUCCCUGCCGCCAGGGGGGCAUGUUGGGGGCUGCAGGAGAGGGGCUGAGAGGAAGGCCCCUCCCUGCGCCGCACGGAGCAAGGCGUCCCCCGGAGGUAGGCCCUCUGCCGGGGAGGUGCUCCAGAGCCUUCCCCCGGCAAAGGACCCGUGGUUGCCGAGGGCGCCGCUGGCGUCCCCUUUGCCCCUUGGUGUCGUCCUGGUUUCCGGUCGCCCCCAACGGUGGUCGAGGGAGGCGCAAGGCGGGGCCCUCGUCUGGCGAUAUGAAGUAAGGCUCACGCCUGUGAAGGUCUUCGCUCGUGACACUCUCACGUAAUAAUGAGUGGGGCUGUACACGCCCCGGAGUCUUAGGAGUGCCGCCCUCGGGCCUCGGGGGCUCCCUCCCACGUCCUAGUGGCAGCACUUAGCUCCGCGCUGGUGAGAAGACAAGAAGACUAGACUAGGCGCCGGACGCGGCCAUUUUCUUUGGAUCUCUUUUCUGUAACCCUGCCUUCUGGAUUUGGAUUUAAGUUGAAGUUGAAUUUUCUCGUUCGAGCGAUUUCUUGCUAUAUGGUUCUUGCCUUAAUUCGGAGUUUGCGCCUGUUGCUUCCCCCUCACGGGCAGGGCUAGGCAUGGCGCACGCGCGCCACGGCUAGCGCUUACAUAUCACGCGGCCUCCUCGGGCGUGUCGACAGGCUCCUCAGGAGCUUCCCAGAAACUCGCAACCUCACGAGCCGGUUCAGGGCUCGUCCAGGCCAAGGUAAACCGCAACAGCAAACUUUCCCCAGGAUACAUGAGUUCAUGAAGACACAUAUUCAACUCGUCCUAAAAAGAUAGAGGCAGUAGUAUAUUUACAUGAGGGGCUUCCCCUCCAAAAAUGCUCUUACAACCUCUAGGGCCGCGCCCGAGCUUCUGCGUGCAGGACAAAUAGCUGGGAAACGCGGGAUCAGUCGGCCAUGUCGCUCGCCGCAUCCCCCGGAUCACCCUCAGACGCGUCGCCGGCAUCGCUGCCACCAUCGCUAGCAUCACCAUCACCUCCAACGACGCCGCCAUCGCCAUUGUCGACCACGUCGCCUUCAUCCGCCGCGACCACCACCGCGUCAUCCUCGGAAGCGAAAGCCCUGACCAGCGCGUCCACAUUGUCCUCCACCCACUGCGCCAGGUCGCCCCGGAUGGCCUCGGAAACCGGAGCAAUGGUGGCGUCAAAGUCAAAGUCCUGGUACGUAUUCUAGAGAUGGCUGAAGACACGGGAGAAUGCGCGCCCCAGCAGGCCACGACUCCUCUCUUCAACAAGGAGGCGAGCUCUCUCGGAGCGAUUCUCCAAAUGCGUCACUACGUCGGUGAAGAAGCGGAGGUGACUAGCGUAGUCGUCCACGCGGGGAUGAGGGGCAUUCUCAUCGCAGAUGUGGCCCAGGGCAAUAUUGGCCCUGUUCCUGAGGCCCUAGAGCAUGGUGGCGUGCACGCGCUCCAGCAUCCGCCGCUGAAGCACUUCCUCCCUGUUCUGCCGCGCGACGGACUCGGCAUCAGCAACCCGCUGCUGAAGAGGGAGCAGCUCGGCGUGGGCGGAGGCCAGUUUGGCCUGCGCCGAGACCAGGGCGGCUGCGGCGGCCUCCUCGCGCCGCUCUGCCUCGAUUAACCUAGACUUGAGGGCAGCAGUCCUACCUGCAGCCGCAGCUUCCAUGAACUCCAACUUCAGGUCGUACCUGCCCUCAAGAUCCGCGCGAGCCUCGGCCACCCGGCGAUCGACCUCCUCUUGGACCAUGGCCUCGCGCACACCAACGACAUCUUCCGCUUGGGCAACUUGGCGCUCCCUCAUCUCCAGUCGCUCGAGCUCAAGGCUACGCUCCACGGCUUCCAGCACCAACGCCUCCUCACGCUUCCGGAUCUCUUCCUCUUUGGCGGGCGUCCCCCUCAACGACGCAAGGGUGGCUCUACGCGCCUCCACUUGCUGCUCCAAGGAGGCGCUCCAGGCUUGGAGCUCCCACGCGCCCUUCUCUGUGGCCUCGCGACGGCGGUCAGCUUCCCGGGCCUCUUCCUGAGGUCAGGAGCAGGCCUCACGCGAGGCUGUGAGAGAAACCUCGGCCUUCGCAUUAUCAAGCUCGCGCUGGUGGCGCCCGAGGUUGAUAGCCACCUUCAUCUUAUGCCGCUCCUCCACUAGCCAAAAACCCUCGGCCACAAGGCGCGCGUCCACAUCCACGAGCUCUUCACCAAGCCGGUUCAUCGCGCCCAUCGCCUCCUGAACGAGCUCGUGGCGGACGACGCUCCUUUCUUGCACCGACUUGAGCAUGCUGCUGACUCCGUCCUCUACCGCAGGGGCCGCAGAGGGGGCCCGAAGCGGCUCGCCCCCUUUCAGCAGGGGGCUGGGGGCUGACACCCACCCGGUUGCCGGCUAGGCCUCACGAGGGGCCCGAGCGGGUGGAGGCCCGCUCCUUGAAGAGGAGCCCAAGGCCGAAGCCACCCAGCCGCCGUCCACGACCAGGGGAGGAACCCUUGGCAUGCUUUGCUCUAUUCCAAACAAGGCCGCGAAGGGGAGACGGCGAGGGCGCGAGCUCAAGACGCCUUGUUAACGAGCUGGCUUCUCCGGUUGACUCCGCACCAUGAGCAGCGCGCGGGCUUGCAGUGCUCAAGUCUAGUGGGAGAAACGAGGCGAGAGGAGGUUGCUUCUCAGGAGAUUCCGCGGCCUUGGCGGAAGGGAUCCUGAAGAGCCAUCGUCAGCAAGGGAGGCAGCACUCGAAGAAUCACAAAGAUAAGGUACUUACUCGUCAACGGCGAUGUACUUUCUCCGUUUUAACGGCCCGAAGGUGCCGCUGCCACGGCUUGGGGACCCCUUCCUCUUGCGGAGCUCCUCGAAGUCCACACAAAGCCGACCAAAGCGCUAGACAUGGCGGCCAACACAAGGCGCAACUGGAGAAGCGCUCGAAAACAACCUCAGGAGCGCCAAGCUGAGGGGGGCUAUCAGGCUCCGCCUCGCAGCGACCUGCUGAGGCCUCAGGAGCCUCGGCCUCGGGAGUCGCGGGCUGCAUCGCCCCCUCAACUGCGGCCCCAUGGCAAGAAUCACGAGCUCUCGAAGACGACGCCUCGGGAGCCCUAGGUGGCAUUAGCACCUCGGCACCCACGCCAUCGGCCUCCAGCGGUGCUCGCCCCCAUGCACCCACACCUGGGGCGAGCUCGACGCCAGCGGCAAGGAGGGGAUGCACAUUGACGGGGUUCUCACAGGGCCCCACCAGACCGACCGGACGCAGCCCCCACUCAUCGAAGGAGGGCAUACGCUCCACAAAUUCCACCUUGUUCAAGCAGCGGUACAGCAAGCAAUUCUUCCCCGGCAUGUCAUCUUGCAACGGGACACCCGUCAGGACCUCGAGCACCGUUCGCCACGCCUCAAGGGGGAGCCCGGAUUCCUGAAGUCUCAUGUGGUCCUUGCAGCUAAGCAAGGCCCACAUUGGCCGGGAAUGGCGCUGAAGCGGAGCAACCCGGCAUCGGACGAACUCCUUCACCACCAUAGGCGCAGUCAUGCCAAGGUCUUUCAGCCCCUUCAGCCUGAGCCAGACGGGGACAAGGCGCGGAUCGGCGAGCCUUUGAUGGCACCAAUAGGAGUUGGGAAUGGCAGGCGCCGACGGAGAAUGGAGUAGAGGGCUGAGCACUCCGACAUCAACAAAUACCCACCGUGUCCGAAACUCGCUCAUGGAUGGUGGAAGCUUGAAGUCAAUUCCCGCGCCUGCCGUCGCCGCCACAGCCUGGAAGCUCAGGCACCCCGAGCUCUGUUGGAGAUUAGUCAGGUGCAGCAAGAAGAAGUGGCGGAGAAGGGCCACGGAAGGAGCAAUGCCCACCAUGGCCUCGCAAACAAAGGCGAAGACGGCAAGAAGGGUCACGGAUUGGGGAUCAAGGUGCAGCAUGUGGAUCUGAUAAAUGGGGAAGCACUGCGUUGAAGAAGGCGGAGAAAGGAGGAACCAGGCCAGCCCAAAGGGCGUCGAUGAAGAAUGGGACCUCGGUGGCUGUCCGGUCGAUACGAGCACGAGACGCAGGCCAGGCCAUUGUCCCUCCCCACUCAUUGAAGCUGGAGGGGAGCAUGGGACGCACCUUGUCCAAGGCUUCUUGGUUGAGCACCAGCGACCUGCCAACUACAGGCUUAGUGGCCGGACGAAGCUCUGCGGAGGAUAGGGGACUCUUCCCUUUCUCCGACUGGUCCGGCGCCAUGGCAAUGGGAGGAUUGAGCUCAGAUCGGAUCGGGAGAAGACGCUGAGCUUCGAGGAAGUGGAAGAAUUGGGGAGUGCGCCGCAACAACGGGAGGGAAACCGUGUAGAUCGCGGUGGCCGCCUAGCCAAGCGGGUAUGAAGGCAGUGUGGGGAAGCGGAGACUCCCACGUCCAAUCAACCACCACACAUCGACCAAGGCCGCAGGCUGUUGGGGCGAGCGGCGCUCUGCACUUGCCCUUUGGCUUCGCCUCAAAGCCAAGUCCGAGCGCGCCUUGGGCCCGGGGGCUACUAUUGGUGUUCUAGGAACGGGGGUCCCCAGACUUGCCUGCCUGCGAACCACGGCGUGGCUCUGCAAGCGGGGCCGUACGGCCCAUCUUCACCAACAAGCAUUUGAGACCCUCGCGAGGGGCCAAGCCUCACGAGGUGGAUGACACAAGACCUCCUCGGGAGCGGCCUCACCAGGCUGCCUCGCGAGGGGCGGAGAGAUCAAGGCAAGGCAAAUCUUGCAAGGUUCUCAUGACGUGAGCCGUGACGAUCGAGACCAGGCGGGUGCCAGGCAGGCGCCAGCGCGCACAGUGUCCUUGUUUCCUCUUUGGUGCUAAGGAGGCAAGCGCAGGCGAGGAGUAUCGAGGAGUCAAGCAAAGAUUUCCAUAUCAGUGCAACAAGACCAAGACCAGCAGGAUGGCAAGACGGAGGUCACCAUGGAGCCCAAGGCGGCGUCACCACUAGAGCCUUUGGCAAGCGAAGAGUGCUUUUGUCAGGAUAACUUGUACUAGCUGUCCCCUUUCAAAUUGGCCAUUGUGGCGUCCCUUCCCGAUCAAUAAUUGGGGAGAGGACCAGGGCAUCUAUAAAUAGGAUUAGCCACCACAGUAGGAGGCAACGGAGCCUCAACCAUCUCAUCUUAGACUAGAUCCAACCUAUCCUCACACCCACCAACCACAAGAACACCUCACCACAGGAGGCUGUUCUUCCCCUUGUACUGUUCAUCCUCGGCUCGAGAGGCAAUCCACCACACCACACUGGAGUAGGGUAUUACACCACAACAGUGGCCCGAACCAGUAUAAAUCUAGUGUCUCUUGUGUUGCAAGUUCGUCGAGCUAAGCUUAGAGAUCCCGGUGAGGCUGAGAGCAUGAUUCGAUAGGGCGAGAUCUUCGUGCGCACCCUAGGUUUUGCCGGAACCCGAGAUCCGACAACUUGGUCAAAUGAUAUUCAUUGAAAAUCUCAAGCAUCUCAUUUUUCCACUCAUGGAAGUACUCUCCAUCAAGUAUAUGCACUCUAUGUCUAAGACUCCCCAACGUAGACUCAUCCAUCUUCCUCCUAUGAUGAUUAAACCAAAGCAAUGGAGACCAAUGCUCUGAUACCAAUUGAAAGGAUCGAGAAGAGGUGUCUAGAGGGGGGUGAAUAGACUCUUAUCAACAAAAGUGGCAGUUUUAAUUGCUUCAAGUUGAGGUGGAGUUUUAGCACAUGUUCAAACAUUCACAAUACAUAUCAAGCAAGCAUGACAAGAGUAUAUGGGCAGCGGAUAGUAAAGCAUGCAAUUUUGCAAGAACGUAAAGGGAUGGGAUUGUAGUGUUCAAACGCAAUUGGAGACACGGAGAUUUUUGGCGUGGUUCCGAUAGGUGGUGCUAUUGUACAUCCACGUUGAUGGAGACUUCAACCCACGAAGGGUAACGGUUGCGUGAGGUCACGGAGGGCUCCACCCACGAAGGGUCCACGAAGAAGCACCUUGUCUAUUCUACCAUGGCCAUCGCCCACGAAGGACUUGCCUCACUAGGGUAGAUCUUCACGAAGUAGGCGAUCUCCUUGCCCGUACAAACUCCUUGGUUCAACUCAACAAUCUUGACGGAGGCUCCCAAGUGACACCUAACCAAUCUAGGAGACACCACUCUCCAAAAGGUAAUAGACGGUGUGUUGAUGAUGAACUCCUUGCUCUUGUGCUUCAAAUGAUAGUCUCCCCAACACUCAACUCUCUUUCAUAGGAUUGGAUUUAGUGGAAAGGUGAUUUGAGUGGAAGGCAACUUGGAGAAGGCUAGAGAUCAAGAUUUAUGUGGUUGGAAUGGAAUAUCUUGACCUCCACACAAGUGUAGGCGGUUCUCUCUCAGAAAAUGUAAGUUGGAAGUGUAGGCAUGUUCUGAUAGCUCUCUCCAUGAAUGAAGAGUGGGUGGAGGGGUAUAAAUAGCCUCCACACAAAAUCUAACCAUUAUAGACAAUUUACCAAACUCGGUGGGACCGAAUCAGAAAACUCGGUCAGACCGAUUUAGUUCAUAAUGUGACCGUUAGGCAUUUCGGUGGGACCGAUACGAUCAACUCGGUAGGACCGAUGUGCUAGGGUUAGGGUAAAGCCUCAUCUUGGUUUGACCGAUUGCACAAACUCGGUGGGACCGAUUUGGGUAAUAAGGGAAACAGAGAGUUGGCCAAGCAAACUCGGUGAGACCGAUUGCAUAUCUCGGUGAGACCGAAAUUAUUACAGUAGGCAACAGAGAGUUUUCAAGCCCAUCUCGGUGAGACCGAGAUCCCAUCGGUGAGACCGAAUUGAUUAGGGUUUCUGGCAGUGGCUAUGUCAACUGAACUCGGUGGCGCCAGAUAGAAAGAUUCGGUAGGGCCGAGUUUGACUCUUGGUUUGGGACAUAUGUGGAAGUGAGAAAGUGGUUGAGGAUUUUGGAGCAUAUCACUAACCAUUUUGAGCAAGCAAGCCAUUAAGCAACACCUCAUCCCCUUUUAAUAGUAUUGGCUUUCCUAUGGACUCAAUGUGAUCUUGGAUCACUAAAAUAGAAAAUGUAGAGUCCCGAGCUUUGAGCUUGAGCGAAUCCAUUUGAAGGGGUUCCUCAUCCUCUAGUCCAUGCCACUCCAUUUGUUGAACUUGUCUGUAAUAUACUAGAUGAAAACAUUAGUCCAACAAGAGAUAUGUUGACAUUAAUUACCAAAACCACCGAGGGAGCACUUGUGCUUUCAGAGGCGCCCAAGAGGGGGAAGAUAUCCCUCCCGGAUGGCUCGGAUUCGGAUGCUGAAGUCAUCCCCAAGUGGCGCCUCAGGCCGAAGCCCCUUGUCGCAUCGUAAGUACACGAGGGUGCCUUUCAUAUGCUCAAUCUUUAUGAUUGUAAUUUAACACAUUAUAUGAUGUAGUCCGGCCCGCGAUCUCCCCCAACAAUCAUCGGAGGGGAAUUCUUUGGACCCGAAGAUGAUGGAGAGCGAGUCGUCUUCGCGAGCCUCCCCGCCUAUCACCACGGACGACACCGAAGUAUUGUCCCGAAGGGCCUCUCCGGGCCACGGGAUGGUACGGGAGGCCGCUGAAACAAUAGCCGAGGGUAACGCCUUGGCCGCCGAAAACACGGGGGGAACAAUCCCCAAGGAGACUGACGGCGGGGGCCUUGACCAGUCCGGCCCCCAGCCGAACACUAUUCCGGAAACCCAAGUGGCUCCGGAAUCGAAUAGGGGACCCCCUGAAGGGAGGGGGGAGUGACAACUCCCGCGGCAACCUCCACUAAUCCGGAGACACCGAACACACUGAUGGAGGCACUGCAACGUGCUUCCGUCAUGGAGGAGCACCACACCCUAAUGGGUGUGGUGAUUGAAAAGGUUCAGCCCGCCAAGAGCGGCCUGAACGAGGCCGUCACUAGCCUGCUAAUAGGCUUCGAGGUAUGCGAUGUAAUAUUCCUGACCGCCUUUCGUAUGAAAAAGAUGCCUGUGUAUAGAUAGUAGCCCCUGAGACUCUCGUCGUCUUUUGAAAAAGGGCGAACAGAGGAUCGAUAAUAUUCGCAGGUGAUAAUGUACUUUUAUAUGUUGAGACGCAGGCUUCACUGUUAGCAGCAACCGCCUAGGCCGCCGAAGUAUCCGAGCUUAAGCGUAAGCUGGAGCUAGCCGAUGAGCAUCUCGUCCACAUCAACAAGAGAUUUGAUGAAGCACAAGGUAUGUUUCAGAAUGUUUCGUUCAUGCCUAUAUUAAUAUGCAGAUCUUGAGUCAAAGCUCAUGCGCUGCUAUGUGUAUGAUUGCAGGCAGUGCUACUGCAGUCGAGGCCCUUAGGGUUGAACUUGCAGAGGCCAAGGAGCAGGCAAGGGUGAACAAAGUGGCCGCUGAUAAAGCAGCCGAGGACUUGAAGUCUGAACAUGUUGUCCACUGCCAAUACGAGGAGCGGAUGACCGAAGUGGAGCAGGCACUCAAGGACGCCGCCAACAAGUGCGAGUACCUAGAGGAGAAGAAUAAAGCCCAGGCGAUGGACCUUACCAAGACCCUUAAAGAGGCCGAGGAGGCGCGGGCCGAAUCCUGAGCGGUGCGCGAGGAGAUCAAGCAAGCCAGACAAAUAGCGGCUAGUAAGCCCUUUCUUUUACAGAGGAAAUUUGGUAAUCAGAAGUAUGUCAUGCUUACUCGACUAUGGAGUGCUCCAGAUGCCUUUGCGGAUCUUCCAAAGAGUGCCGCCGAUGCCGCGAAGUUUGUUCGGGCCCAGGAGGGGCACACGACGGAGAAGCUAUUCUCGUCAUAGCUCGCGGCGCAGGAGCGCCCAGCGCUGUUGAUUGACCAGAUGGCGCUGUGGCCCAAGCUGCAUAGGAUGUCCGGAUUGGCCAUGAGGGACGUCAUAGUCCGGCUGUGGCCAACCGAACCCGUCCCAAGCAGCUAUUUUGGCUUGGUGCAACGACUUGUUGACGCACUGCCCCGCAUUGACGCGGUCAAGCGGUCGUCAUGUAUAGAAGGUGCGCGGCUAGCCUUUGCCCGUGUCAAGAUGCACUGGGCAAAAAUGAAGGCCGCCAUCGGGCUGUUGAGGGUCCGCCCGGAGGAAAGGACCACCGCACGCCGGAGCGCUAUUUUGAAGACGUCCUCGAGUGUCCCCGCUUGAUAGAGGGCCAGUGCUCGAAGGGCAUCAUGUUCGAGUGAAUGUAUCCGAACUGCCCAGACGUUUUAUAAACCAAAGCUUUGUAAUAUAUUUAUGAUGUUUAUCUUAAAGUGUUUUUCCUCCUGUGAGGCCAUUUUUAUCCCUGAGAGUUUGCCAGUCGUCAGCUUCAGCCCCCAUGUAGAUACUACGAGGGUGUUUGGGGUAGCACAUAACCACACUUGACCCAACGUCUUGGUCCGUGAAGGAGGUGUUAGUGCGCAAACCAGGCAAUCGGACUAUGCGGCUUUAUUACUCUCACUUAGCCAUAGGAGUUUGACAAUGGGACUGUGAGAUAGCCCCUGGUGCGCGUGCGGGUAUCCGAACUUGGAUGCCUUAAGCAUGUGACUGGAAAGAGCCAGUCCUUCAUGUAAUACGGAAUAAAUCACUAGAGAUUUAGUAGGUCACUGAAUUGCUGACCAGCUCUCGCCGCAUCAUGACAGUCAGUUUUCGGCUUUCUCUACUGAGGUGUUUGACCGGACGAACCAGAAAUACAAUCGCAGUAGUUCUCCCUUUACUACCUUAGCCGAACAAGCGGAACGUAAGGUGGUAAUCACAGGAACCGGGCAACCCAACAAUUGACCAAAGACAUGAUUCGGAGCCUAUGCAUAUAGUGCCAUAUUCGGGACCUUGAAGCAUACUUAUAAAAGUGUUCGAACUUGUUUUGUUUGAAAAAAUAUACGUGGCCGAAUAGAGCCCCUGGCGAUUUGAAUUGUGCCGAGGUAUAUACAACAAUCUGACGUAAAGAGGGAAUAUAGAUUGAGAACUAAGCCAAUACAGAACAGGUUGGGCGAAACUGUUCACAUUAUAGUCUGGUUGAUACGUCAAAAUGUAUUUUUACAGAGGAUGCAAUAAGCAUCUAGGCUAUUUUACAUGCCGAGCACAAGGGAAAGUUGUAUACAGCUCCUGAAGAGGAAAAAAUAUGAUCUUGAAGAUCCUUUGGAUACUCUGGCACACGUCUGCGCUGCUUUUCACCUUGGUAUAUGCUCCUUUGAGAGGAUAAAUGAUCGAGCAUACAUAAGGGGCCUGGAAAAAGGGCCCUUGGUACGAUCGAAAAGUGAUGUGGGUUGUAAAGGACAUGAAAAAUAAAAAUAAGAAGAAGAAAAAGAAGAAUAUGAGUGUCCGGAUAGGGUCGAACCAUAUUGUGGUCCUUAUUUUUAGUAUGCCUCCGUCCUUGCCCAUGGUAUCUUUAGUGCGUAGUUAUGUACGCACGAUACGUAUGCCACUAUCAGGUUGGGGCUUUGAUAGAAGCUGAAUUGUUAAUCUAGCUCUGGAUGAGCCAGGCUUCCAUUAUGCAGGGUAGACCGGACUCGUUUAACAGUGUCCCGGGGCUUGAGUGCUGAUGUAGUAUUCGGCUUAAUGAGGCUACCCUGUACUUCGGCUGCGAGGGCCGCGGUACGCUCCUCAGUACAAAGGGAGCGCUCCAUGUUUCCAUUGACUAUGAUAACGCCACGUGGUCCAGGCAUCUUGAGCUUUAGAUAAGCGUAGUGCGGGACUGCAUUGAAACGGGCGAAAGCGCUUCGUCCAAGCAGUGCGUGGUAGCCGCUGCGGAAGCUGACGAUGUCGAAGAUCAAGUCUUCGCUUCAGAAAUUAUCUAGUGAGCCGAAGACGACUUCCAGCGUUAUCGAUCCUGUACAACAGGCCUCUACGUCGAGUAUCACUCGUUUAAAGGUGGUUUUAGUGGGCUUGAUUCUUGAUGGAUCAAUACCCAUUUUACAGACAGUGUCCUGAUAAAGCAGGUUAAGACUGCUGCCACCGUCCAUAAGGACUCGCGUGAGGUGGAAUCCAUCGAUAAUUGGAUCGAGGACCAAUGCGGCCGAACCUCCAUGACGGAUACUGGUCGGAUGGUCUCUGCGAUCAAAAGUGAUCGGACAGGCUGACCAUGGGUUAAAUUUGGGGCGACUGGCUCUAUGGCAUAAACGUCCCUUAAUGCGUGCUUGCGCUCCCGCUUAGGGAUAUGAGUAACGUAGAUCAUAUUCACCAUUUUGACCUCNNNNNNNNNNNNNNNNNNNNNNNNNNNNNNNNNNNNNNNNNNNNNNNNNNNNNNNNNNNNNNNNNNNNNNNNNNNNNNNNNNNNNNNNNNNNNNNNNNNNNNNNNNNNNNNNNNNNNNNNNNNNNNNNNNNNNNNNNNNNNNNNNNNNNNNNNNNNNNNNNNNNNNNNNNNNNNNNNNNNNNNNNNNNNNNNNNNNNNNNNNNNNNNNNNNNNNNNNNNNNNNNNNNNNNNNNNNNNNNNNNNNNNNNNNNNNNNNNNNNNNNNNNNNNNNNNNNNNNNNNNNNNNNNNNNNNNNNNNNNNNNNNNNCCUUAUGUUCGGUGUUUAGCUUACCGGCCUGCUGAAAGACCCAACAAUUUUUGUUGGUAUGAUUGGCAGGCUUGUCAGGGGUGCCAUGAAUCUGGCAAGGCCUAUCGAGUAUUCUGUCCAAACUGGAUGGACCAUCUUUGUUUCCUUUGAAUGGCUUCUUCCGCUGACCGGGUUUAGAGCCACCGAAUCUGGCGUUGACCGUCGUAUCUUUGGUAUCUUCAUUUAGUUUUGGCGCUUGUGUUUGUUGCGUCGUGGCUUCCAUUACCAUCUCUGGCUUCGGAGGUGCCAGGGUUGCUGGUGCUGUUGCUUCUACGAGCGAGCCUACUGUCUUCUCCCACGCAAAAGCGGGUCAUGAGUGCGGUAAGGGCUGCCAUGGACUUCUGUUUUUCUUGGCUGAGGUGUCGGGAGAGCCACUCGUCCCGGGCACUGUGUUUAAAGGUCGCGAGGGCUUCGGCGUCCGGACAGUCCACAAUUUGGUUCUUUUUAAUUAAGAACCUGGUCCAUAGCUUCCGGGCUGAUUCUCCGGGUUGCUGGACUAUGUGACUAAGGUCAUCGGCGUGUGGAGGCCGAACAUAGGUACCUUGGAAAAUAUCUCUAAAGGCAUCUUCCAAGUCUUCCCAGCUACCAAUAGAGUUUUUUGGGAGGCUGUUUAACCAGUGCCGAGCUGGUCCCUUUAAUUUUAGUGAGAGGUACUUGAUGGUAGGGAGAUCAACACUUCGGGCCAUGUGGAUAAUGAGAAGAAGAUCUUCAAUCCAUACUGCGGGAUCUGUCGUUCCAUCGUAUGAUUCAAUGUUCAUGGGUUUAAACCCUUCUGGGAACUAGUGCUCCAUUACCUUAUCGAUGAAGCAUUGGGGGUGUGCGGCGCCUCUGUAUCGGGCGACGUCGCGACGCAGUUCGGAUGAAGUCCGUAUGCGGUUUUUGGCCCCAGUGAGGUUGUGCCUGCCGCGCCAGGCCUGAUGGCCAUCUUCGCGCGUUGGAGCUCGCCCCCUUGAUCCAUAGAUCGAUCUGGCUUGGCCUGCUCUAUUGUCUAGGUCCUGCCAUAGGUCGUAGGUGUAUCUUGGAGCUAUUGUCUCUCUGCCUUCACGGCGAGGUGGUGCGGGUUGGUGUUCGGUGUAGGUGGCCGCUUUAUCUUGUCCACCUGGCGGCCGGUCUGGUUCAUCAGCACGGUCGUAUCUUGACGGUAUGGGCUUGACGACCUCGUCGUCGAAUUGUGGAAGUAGCCGACGCUUUGGAUAACUCUUUGUUGGGCGUUGAAGGCCGUACUCUUUGGCAGCCAGGACUUGGCUCCAUCUGUCGUUGAGUGUAUCCUGCUCGGCUUGGAGCUAUUGCUGCUUCUUUUUUAGGCUUCUCGUAGUGGCGAUUAGCUGGCGCUUAAAGCACUCCUGCUCGAGUGGUUCCUCUAGUACGAUGAAGUCUUCGUCACCGAGGCUCACAUCAUCCUCGGAGAUUGGUAGAUAUUUACUAUCCUCCGAGUCCUCGUUCGCGACUGCAUCGUCAGGGUUAACUUGCCCAUCUUACCAAUCAUCCUGUUCGGAUGUUGGCUCAAUAGGGGCUUCGGGGUCUUUGGCGUUCUCCGGGUGUUAUUAUCUCUCGUGCCGGUACUGCUGUCUUUUUCGUGAUGUGAUUUUGAGCGGCGCCGCUGACGUCGACACUUUGGAGCUACUUCAGCGGGCUUGUCCUCAACCGGAUCCUUCCUGCCGUCGUCGUCAUCCUCUUUGGGUGUGUCCACCAUAUACACGUCAUAUGUGGAGGUGGCCGUCCAACGUCCGGUAAACGGCGGGUCUUGGCCUUGUGCGUCUCUAGCAUUGUCUUCCAUGCCGUCGAUGUCUUCGGAGGUGUAGUCCAGCAUGUCAGUUAAGUAUUUGACAAUGGCUAUGAAGUGCGUGGUGGGCGAGACGUAAAAUUCCCUCUCUCAGCCCCUAGUCCGGGCUGGGCAUAGUUCAGAAGUGAUUCCUCUGUAAUAGCGAUGGAUCACAUUAAGUCCAGGGCCUCGUUUAAGAGCGAGGUUUGGAUGUGGAAGCGAGAGUUCGCGGGGCUGGCCGGGGUGAAAGCCUCCUGGCCAUGCCUACUUGGGGCGGACUUCGAGAGUUCAGAUCUGGAGUCCGGGGGCAAGUCCGGCCUUUUCAAUGAUAGGGGGAACCUGGACUAGUUCCGAGUUCGCCGUGGACACGAUCGCAUCUGGAUCCUCGAUAAUGAGGUUUGCAACGGAGAGUUUGGUGGGCUCCACACUCCCAUCUUUGGACCUGAUGGUUUGCUGGAUCUAAGGCCAGAGCGAUGGUCGGGGCCGCGAACCCUUCGAAGAUCAAGUCUCCUCGGAUAUCAGCGACAUAGUUUAGGUUCUCGAAACUGAUCUGGUGACCAGGGGCGUAGCUAUCGAUAUGUUCAAGGUGGCCAAUCGAGUUGGCACGCAGUGCGAAGCCGCCGAAUAUGAAAAUUUGGCCGGGGAGGAAAGUCUCCCCCGAAACAUCAUCAUUGUAGAUGAUCAAUCGAGCCAUCGAACCUUCUGUCGACGGCACAAUGGAACUCUCAAUGAAAUCACCAAUGUCGGUGUCAAAACCGGCCGAUCUCAGGUAGGGGGUCCCGAACUAUGUGUCUGAGGAUCGAAGGUAACAUGAGACAAGGGAAAUGAUGUUUACCCAGGUUCGGGCGCUCUUAAUGGAGGUAAUACCCUACUUCCUGCUUGAUUGACUUUGAUGAGUAUAGGGGUUACAAGAGUUGAUCUACCUCGAAAUCGUAAUGGCUAAACCCUAGAUGUCUAGCCUGUAUGAUUAUGAUUGCCUCUAUAGACUAAAUCCUCCGGUUUAUAUAGACACCGGAGGGGCCUAGGGUUGUACAGAGUCAGUUUACAGAGAAAGGAAACUUCAUAUCCGAAUGCCAAGCUUGCCAUCCACGCAAAGGAGAAUCCCAUCCGAACACGGGGGAAGGCCUUCUAUCUUGUAUUUUCAUAACCCAUCAGUCCGGCCCAUGUCACAUAGCCCGAACGCCCAGGGACCCCCUAAUCAAGGACUCCCUCAAUGCAUUUUUGUUUUUGGCACGGAGUGCUAUAUCCGGAUCACUUGUUUGAGCUUCAUGUACCCGUAGUGGGGUAUUGCUUGGAAGCGUGUGAAAGCAUCUCGCCCUAAUAAGGCGUGAUAUCCGUUGUUGAAAGCCGCCACGUGGAAGAGUAACUCUUCAGACCUGUAGUUCUCCGGUGUGCCGAAUAGUACAUCAAGUUUAAUUUUCCCCGAGCAUCACGCUUCUCGGCUGGGGAUAAUACCUCGAAAGGUUGUAUUGCUCUGCUCGAUGCGGCUCUUGUCCAUUUGCAUUUUGUGAAGCGUGUCCUUGUAGAUGAGGUUUAGUCUGCUGCCACCGUCCAUGAGCACUUUAGUAAGUCUGAAUCCAUCUACAAUUGGGUUUAAGACCAAGGCGGCAGGUGCUCGGACCAGUCUACAUCUUGGUUUGUCUUCGGCACCAAAAGUUAUUGCCAUAUCGUUCCAAGGAUUUACUGUGGCCACUUAGUUGACUUCGGCGAGGUCGUGGAGCGCCCUUUUGUGCUGGUUGUUUGAAGAAAAGGUCUCGAAGACCAUAAAGACGUUGAGGUCGUCGUCCUCUAGAGAGUGCACCUCCGGGGUAGUUUUAGAGAGGAUGGCGUCGCCGCUCUUAGCCACCUGCCGGAGUACCCAACAUGCCCGAAGGCUAUGUGUUGGUUCCGUAUUCGGCGUAGUUUGAAUUGGAUAGGGCUUGUCGUGUAAUACGUCCAGGACGGUUCUAUGACCUAUGGACUUGAUUCUUUUUUCAAUGAGGUGAUGAUCAGGUGGCCCGUGAGGGUACAUCCUUUUUGCCCAUCCGGCGGGUUGCUUGAAGGCCGGAGGAUCCCAUCGGGCUGUCUGAGCUUUCCAAGCGCUUUCCAUUGUGUAGUACUUCUGCACUAUGUGUGCCAAAUCUGUGAAGUGCAGUAUGCGGCGGCGGUUGAGGGCAUUGAGGAUUUGCUCGUCCGUACAGUUCUGGCAGAAAACUGAAACCGCGCCGUCGUCGCAGCAAUCUUUAAUCUUGUUUUAAACAAGGAGGAACCUGACCCAGAAGUGAUGGACCGUUUCCUGAGGUUGUUGUCGUAUGUACAUUAGGUCAAAUACAUCUUGAGGACCUGAAUUGCUUGGAGAAUAUUGUUUGUGGUGGGUGGGCGGGCUAAAAUCAGACCCCUGACCCACUAUUGUAUCCGGAGUUUGAAGAGUUUGCGAGGUCACCGGCCCAGGACCCGAAGUGUCCUGGCGGCCGUUGGUUUCAACGCUCGGUGCUGUGUUCGGAGGACAUGAGGUCUCUUCCCGAAGAUGGGUAUCCAGCUCGUAGGACUCGGAUAUCCGAACAUAGUUUGUCUGCAAUUUAGGGGAGAAGUAGUCUCGGAUUGUUCCUCCACGACCGCUACGAGAUGGGUGAUCGGCGAUGACCUGCUUUCCCUCUGAUCGGGUUUAAGCCCAAUCCGAUCGUAGUUCGUUGCAACUUCCACGGCGGCGAUGCGAUCUAGUAGCUCGUUUAAGGAUGAGACAUUUGUUGGAUCCAUCUUUUCGGGGUGUUGAAGGCCGAUGCGAAGACGACGUUUGGCGAUCUCGAGGGCUGCCUUUGGCUGAACGGCCGUGCAGGCACCAAUGGUGAAACUAUCAAGCUGGAGGACCUGACCCGGAGCUAGGGCCCCUCCAGAGGUAAUGUUGUCUUUAAUGACGAGGCGAGCCAUUGAUCCCGCCGUCGACGACAUAGUGGAACUCUCAAUGAAAGCACCAAUAUCGGUGUCAAAACCGGCCGAUCUCGGGUAGGGGGUCCCGAACUGUGCGUCUGAGGAUCGAAGGUAACAUGAGACAAAGAGGACACGAUGUUUACCCAGGUUCGGGCCCUCUUGAUGGAGGUAAUACCCUACUUCCUGCUUGAUUGACUUGGAUGAGUAUAGGGGUUACAAGAGUCGAUCUACCUCGAGAUCGUAAUGGCUAAAUGAUGUCUACUACACAACCUUCUUCUUGUAGACGUUGUUGGGCCUCCAAGUGCAGAGGUUUGUAGGACAGUAGCAAAUUUCCCUCAAGUGGAUGACCUAAGGUUUAUCAAUCCGUGGGAGGCGUAGGUUGAAGAUGGUCUCUCUCGAACAACCCUUUAACCAAAUAACAAAGAGUCUCUUGUGUCCCCAACACACCCAAUACAAUGGUAAAUUGUAUAGGUGCACUAGUUUGGCGAAGAGAUGGUGAUACAAGUGCGGUAUGGAUGGUAGAUAUAGGUUUUUGUAAUCUGAGUUUAUAAAAACAGCAAGGUAAAAAGUGAUAGAAGUGAGCACAAACGGUAUUGCAAUGCAUUGAAACAAGGCCUAAGGUUCAUAAUUUCACUAGUGCAAGUUCUCUCAACAAUAAUAACAUAAUUGGAUCAUAUGACUAUCCCUCAACAUGCAACAAAGAGUCACUCCAAAGUCACUAAUAGCGGAGAACAAACGAAGAGAUUAUUGUAGGGUACGAAACCACCUCAAAGUUAUCCUUUCUGAUCGAUCUAUUCAAGAGUCCGUAGUAAAAUAACAUGAAGCUAUUCUUUCUGUUCGAUCUAUCAUAGAGUUUGUACUAGAUUAACACCUUAAGACACAAAUCAACCAAAACCUUAAUGUCACCUAGAUACGCCAAUGUCACCUCAAGUAUCCAUGGGUAUGAUUAUAUGAUAUGCAUCACACAAUCUCAGAUUCAUCUAUUCAACCAACACAAAGAACUUCAAAGAGUGCCCCAAAGUUUCUACCGGAGAGUCAAGACGAAAACGUGUGCCAACCCCUAUGCAUAAGUUCACGAGGUUACAGAACUCGCAAGUUGAUCACCAAAACAUACAUCAAGUAGAUCACGUGAUAUCCCAUUGUCACCACAGAUAAGCACGUGCAAGACAUACAUCAAGUGUUCUCAAAUCCUUAAAGACUCAAUCCGAUAAGAAAACUUCAAAGGGAAAACUCAAUCCAUUACAAGAGAGUAGAGGGGGAGAAACAUCAUAAGAUCCAACUAUAAUAGCAAAGCUCGCGAUACAUCAAGAUCGUACCACCUCAAGAACACGAGAGAGAGAGAGAUCAAACACAUAGCUACUGGUACAUACCCUCAGCCCCGAGGGUGAACUACUCCCUCCUCGUCAUGGAGAGCGUCGGGAUGAUGAAGAUGGCCACCAGUGAGGGAUCCCCCCUCCGGCAGGGUGCCGGAACAGGGCCCCGAUUGGUUUUUGGUGGCUACAGAGGCUUGCUACGGCGGAACUCCCGAUCUAGGUUAUGUUCUGGGGGUUUCUGUAUAUAUAAGAGGUUUUGGCGUUGGGGACAAGUCAGGGGGUCUCUGAGGCGGCCACGAGGUAGGGGGUGCGCCCAGGGGGGUAGGGCGCGCCCCCACCCUCGUGGUUGCCUCGAGACUCUUCUGUCCCAUCUCCGAUACUCCAUGGGCUUCUUCUGGUGCAAAAACAAUCUCCGUCAAAUUUCAGGUCAAUUGGACUCCGUUUGGUUUUCCUUUUCCGCGAUAGUUAAAAACAAGGAAAAAAAGAAACUGGCACUUGGCUCUAGGUUAAUUGGUUAGUCCCAAAAAUCAUAUAAAAUAGCAUAUAAAUGCAUAUAAAACAUCCUAGAUGGAUAAUAUAAUAGCAUGGAACAAUAAAAAAUUAUAGAUACGUUGGAGACGUAUCACUAAACCCUAGAUGUCUAGCCUAUAUGAUUUGUGAUAGCCUCUACAGACUAAAUCCUCCGACUUAUAUAGACACUGGAGGGGCCUAGGGUUUUACAGAGUCGGUUUAAAGAGAAAGGAAACUAUACUUCCAGACGCCAAGCUUGUCAUCCACGCAAAGGAGAGUCCCAGCCAGACACUGGGGAAGGCCUUCUAUCUUGUAUCUUCACGGCCCAUCAGUCCGGCCCAUGCUACACAGUCUGGAUGCCCGAGGACCCCAUAAUCUAGGACUCCCUCUAGCGACCACGGCACGCGUGCCUCCCCCUGGACGGGUUGACCAAGUUGUCGCGCCCGACGGAGCCGUUGGCCCCCAAGCGCCUUCGCCGCACCACCCUGCCAUCCAGGUGGAUGCCCCGCAGCAGGGGGCGCGGUGCUGCCGUUGCUGGCACCGUUAGGAGCUGAGCGACGAUGCGAUCGAUUUCAUCAUCACCCAUGCCAAGCACAACCUCAGCGACCAUGGCGCGAGCUCAACUUCUACUGAGGUUUCCGCCAGCGGCCGAGCAGAUGGACGAAUGGCGAGCCACCAUCUAAAGUCUGCUCGGUUUCGCCGAAGCUGGGGGAUCACGGCGAGCUGGCCCGCCACAACCUCCCCAGGCGACGACAACAGCUCGUGCUUCUGGCCGCACAAAAGGGGGCACCCCCAUGAUGCAUUCCCCGCCGCGGCAACCAGCGCGAGCGCACCAGAAUCAAGACCUGAUGACGUCUCGAUGGCCUCUUUUGACCCUCGAGCAUAUCCAGGCCGACGACGAGCCCCGGAGGAUAGGCGAGGGGCAGACACGCGCGUCGUCGUUGGGCAACACCGUGACGACCCCCGCCGGGCCAAUGGGUGCGACGGCCCCGACAUCGAUGAACCCGCACUCGGUACUAGAGGGUGCCUACCUUUUGAGGUUGGGUGCCCAGCCAUUACUCGUGAGUUGCGGCUAGUCCGUUGGCCGUCUGUUCACAUGUUCAAGCCAGAGAUACCUGAGAAAUACGAUGGGAGGCUAAACCCAGCAGAGUUUCUCAGCAUCUACGCCAUCGCUGUUCAGGCUGCCGGGGGAAGAGAUGAGAAGGUGUUUGCCAAUUACUUCCCUUUGGCUCUCAAGUCCAAUGUGAGGUCCUCACUGAUGCAUGAUAACCCACAAGUAUAGGGGAUCGCAACAGUUUUCGAGGGUAGAGUAUUCAACUCAAAUUUAUAGAUUCGACACAAGGGGAGCCAAAGAAUAUUUGAAGGUAUUAGCAGCUGAGUUGUCAAUUCAACCACACCUGGAGAUUAAUUAUCUGUAGCAAAGUGAUCAGUAGCAAAGUAGUUUGAUAGUUUUGAUAGUAGUGACAGCAGCAAUAGUAACAAUAACAGUGAUAGCAGUAAUUAUGUAGCAAGUGUAACAGUUAUGAUAGCAGUAGUAACUUAGCAUAAACAAUAUGGAAAAGUUCGUAGGCAUUGGAUCGGUGACUUGUUGGAUGAUAUUCAUCAUGUGACAGUUAUAACCUAGGGCGAUUCGGCACUAGCUCCAAUUCAUCGAUAUAAUGUAGUCAUGUAUUCCAUAAAUAGUCAUACGUGCUUUAUUAAAAGAACCUGCAUGACAUCUUUUGUCCUACCCUCCCGUGGCAGCGGGGUCCAUAUUGGAAACUAAGGGAUAUUAAGGCCUCCUUUUAAUAGAGAACCGAAACAAAGCAUUAACACAUAGUGAAUAUAUGAACUCCUCAAACUACGGUAAUCACCUGAAGAAGUCCCGGUUAUUGUCACUCCGGGGUUGCCGGAUCAUAACACGUAGUAGGUGACUAUAACUUGCAAGAUUGGAUCUAACACAUGGAUAUAAUGAUGAGUUCAUAAAUGGUGCAGAUCUGAAUUCAUGGCACCCGGGCGCAAAGUGACAAUCAUUAAGCAUGGCAAAGUCAUAGAAACAUCAAUCUAAGAACAUAGUGGAUACUAGGGAUCAAGCCCUAACAAAACUAACUCGAUUACAUGAUGAAUCUCAUCCAACUCCUCACCGACCAGCGAGCCUACGAAGGAAUUACUCACUCCCGCUGGGGAGCAUCAUGGAAUUGGCGAUGGAGAAGGUUUGGUGAUGACAAAGAACAAAGAUCCUCCUCUCUAGAGCCCCAAACGGACUCCAGAUCUGCCCUCCAGAGGAAGAACAGGGCUUAGCGGCGGCUCCGUCUCCUGGAUCGUGAUAAUUCUUUCUCCCUGAUUUUUCUCCGAAAAUAGGAAUUUAUAGUGUAAAGGUUGAGGUCUGCGGGGCCACCAGGUGAGUACAACCCACCUGGGAGCGCCCGGUGGGUUUUGCCCACCCAGGGGCCCCUCUCUGGUGGAUCUUGGCUCCAGAAAUUCUCUUUUAUUAUAUAAAAAAUCCUCGCAAAGUUUCGUUCCAUUCCGAAAACUUUUAUUUGUGCACAAAAACAACACCAUUGUAGUUCUGCUGAAAACAACGUCAGUCCGGGGUUAGUUUCAUUCAAAUCGUGCAAAUUAGAGUCCAAAACAAGAGGAAAAGCGUGGCAAAAAGUAGAUACGUUGGAGACGCAUCAACUCCCUCAAGCUUAAACCUUUGCUUGUCCUCAAGCAAUUCAGUUGAUAAACUGAAAGUGAGAAAGAAAAACUUUUAUGAACUCUUUUGCUCUUGUUUGCAUAAAUAAGCUUAAACAUCUCCCAGGUUUUCAGCCAACAUUAUAGCUAACCAUGUUAACAAUAACUCUUAAAGAUUAUAAUGACUCAUAUCAAUGACAUAAUCAGCUAGCGAGCAAUAAUAAGAAAUCUCAAAUGGCAACACAUUGUCAAAACAACCAUGAUAUAAUAUGACAAUAGUGGUAUCUCGCUAGCCCUUUCUGAGACCGCAAAACAUAAAUGCAAAGCACCUCCAAAGUUCAAGCAGCGACUAAACAUUGUAAUUCAUGGUAGAAACAUAUAGUCAUGAUGCACCCAACAUUAGCUACACACAAUGCAUAAAUCAUGACACCUGUGCUCUGCUCAGUUUCUGGCGCUUGAUUUUAGAAGGUGGUGGCACAACAUAAAAGUAAAUAGAUAGUCCCUUCGCAGAGGGAAGCAGUGAUUUGUAGAGAUGCCAGAGCUCAAUUUUUAAAACAGAGGUAAAUGAUUAUUUUGAGACAUGCACCCUUCUUAUUCACUUCACGACCAUCAGUUAUCAACAUCUUCCAUGCUAAGCACGCUAGUGGCGGUUCCCAAGCGAUAAAAAGUAAAGGUUUUGACUCCAAUGGGAGUUUUUGUUUGAUUAAUUCAGAGAUGAACUCUUUUUCAUGUUUGCAUUUUGGGACUGGGCAUCCCUAUUACCGCCCUUUUCUCGUUCGAUGGCGAGUGAAUAAACACUCAACGUGAGAAUAACCCGCUUAGCAUGGAAGAUACCAACCACCUCCUAUCGUUCCAUGAAUGAUCCAGGCACACAAAACAGAUAUUUUUUUUAGAAGUUUUUAGAGGUGGCACAUGCAAAUUUACUUAGGACGGCAGGGUAAUACCAUAUAUAGGUAGGUAUGGUGGACUCAUCUGGAAUAACUUUGGGUUCAAGGUUUUUGAUGUACAAGCAGAAUUCCCACUUAGUACAGGCGAAGGUUAGCAAUUUAGAUUGAGAAACGUCCAUCUAGAGAGCAACAACGAUCAUAACCAUGCAUUAUGCAUAAGUAACAUUGGACACUAGCAUGAGUAGGAUAUGAACACCAUGAACAUAAAUAUCAUAGAGGCUAUGUUGGUUUUGAUUCAACUACAUGUAUGAACAUGUGCCAAGUCAAGCCACUCGAACAUUCAGAGGAGGAUAAUAUAUCAUCAUACUACAUCACAAUCAUCUUAACUCAAUGUUGAUAUCCAAGAUAAAUCAUUAUUAACUCCCAGCUACUUAUGCAUGGCAUGAGAAACUAUAAUCUCUAAUUGUCAUUGCAAACAUGUUUAAUCAUAAUGGGCUGAAGCAUGGAUACUAGGUUAAACAUAUUUACACAAACAGAACAAGUCGAGUUAAUACCAGUUUCUCUCUGCCAUGGCCAGUUCAUCAAAUGUCGUCAAUAUUGCCUUUCACUUGCACGACCGAACGAUAUGAAAAUAAUAAUAGUGCAAGAGUGUCGUGGACUAAGCUGGAAUCUGCAAGACAUUUUAUUCAACAGGAGAAGACAAGGUAAAAUGGGCUCUUUAUUAGUUCAACAUUUAUUCAUAUGAGAGCCACUCAACAUUUUCAUCAUGGUCUUCUCCUCGGCAUAACUCGAAUAAAAAGAAAAGAAAUUCAGAGAAACACACUGAAAUAUUUUUGAAGUUUUUGGUUUUCUUGAACAAGCAAUUAAAGGGAAUAGCAAAAACGAGAAAAACUAUUUACACGGGAAAGCUCCCAACAAGCAAACGAAGAACAAGGAAAUCUUUUUGGGUUUUCUUUUUAAUAUUAUUACUAAGCAUGCAUAGAAAGUAAAUUAACUAUAACUAAUUUUUGGUUUUUUUUCUAAAUUUUUUCAAACACACAAGAAGAAAGCAAGAAAAUAAAUCUAAGCAUGGAUGAUACAAUGAAAAAUUGUGGACACCGACAAAUGGAAUAAGUGAACAUGAAUGUAAAGUCGGUGGAAACACGUACUCCCCCAAGCUUAGGCUUUUGGCCUAACUUGGUAGUCGAUCAGUAGCCUAGAGGGUAGUAGGGGUGCUGUGGAGCUGGCAUCCACUUGUCCGACUACUGGGGCUCCUGCUGUGCCGCUUCCGCAGCAGCCUGAGUGUUCCAGUAGGCGAUGAUGUCUGCAAGCAUGAUCCUAUAUCCACCCCUGGCAGCAAAAUCAAACAAAGCAGGUGCAGGCAAUGGAAUAACAUCAUGAGUUUUAACACUAAAGACCAGGUUAUAAGGAAUGGCAAUAUCAGGACAAUCAUGUGCAAGAAAGUGAUGGUGUUCCAUGGCUGCACGGUUUAGGUAAACCUUGGUCAGAGGGUAAUCAUGAGGGCGUAUCGCAACCUCGAAAUGAGCAGCCAAGUGAGUAGCAAAAAUCCCACCAUGUAUUUCACCCUGUGAUUUAAUAAGAUGCAAGCGACGGGCCACAAUAGCUCCCAAGCUAUAAGUGUGGUCACCCUCCAAUGCCCUGCGUAAAACAGCAUAGUCUGGUGCACUAAACGCACCCACUUUCUUUCUAGCAAGCAAGCACUUAGCAACAAAUAAAGCAAAAUAAUGUAUAGCAGGAAAGUGUAAGCUAAUAGCCGUGGUGGCUGAGACUCCUCUCUCAUCUCCCACUAUCAAAGUGCGAUAAAAAGCCUCAAACCCAGCCGGUCUUGGCUCAGCUAAACUCCCAUCAGAAGGGAUCAUGCAUAUGUCACAAAAUUCAGUAAGUGGUAUCUGAUGGUUUUCAGCAUAUAAAUCAAAGCUCACUUCAGGAGGAUUAUUUCUAGGCAAGAAAGUAAAGCUCUAAACAAAGAUGUUUGUGAGGAUUUGGUGCUGGUCACACUCAUCUGUGAUGAAGUCGGUGAGGUUGGCAUUGGCAAUAUAUUGCGUGAACUCCUCAAAAAUUCCAGCCUCUUGCAGGAACGGGGUGUGCGGCCAUUCGCACGGCCGUACCUCCGCCAACCUCCGAGAGUGGAGAUCACCGUCAGAAGACUCCCGAAUGACACCCUUGGAGUUCUUCUUAGAGCCAAACUUCCUGAAGAUAUUCAUGUCUGUGUACAAUUUUAUGAAAAUAAAAAUUUUGGGGUGACAAAAAUUUAUCAACAAAACUUUAUGAAAUUAAUAGCAACUACUCAUAGGGAUGCAUAGAAGCCAUAACAAGCAUUCAAACAACUUAGAACACUAAUAAUUCAACAUGCAAGCACAUCUACAUCACCACCAAGAGUAGCUAAUUAUUCAAAAUAUAAACCUCUAAAGCAAAAACUAAUUGGACAAAUGGUGGAGUCACAUACCAAGCAACAAUCCCCCAAAACAGUUUUGGAAAGGGAGCUUCGAGCAAAGACAUCGAAAUCCGUGGGUUUGAGCUCAAGAACACGGGAGAGAGAGCAAUGGGGAUUUUUUUUCUGGAGGUAAGUGAUGAUGUGGGAUGAAGAGGUAAGUGAGGGUGCCCACGUGGGGACCACAACCCACCAGGGCGCGCCUGGGGUCCUGGCGCACCCAAGUGGGUUGUGCCCACCUGGUGCACCUCCCUCUGAUAUUAUUUGCACCAGGAAUUCAGAAAUAUUCAGAAAAAAUCAUGUAAAAUUUUCAGGACAUUCUGAGAACUUUUAUUUUUGGGUCAUUUUUUAUUGCACGGGAAAUUCAGAAAACAGACAAAACAUGGCAUUUUAUUUUAUUUAGCUAAUAAAAACAGAAAAAAGGAAAGGACAGAAGGUAGUGCUUACUAAAUUCAUCUCAUACCGUUCAAUAAUGAUCCAUUAAUAAGGUUGAUCAAGUCUUAUUAACAACCACUUUCGAUUAGCAUGAAACCGAAGAACUUUCGUAAAGUCACUAAGUUACCUGAAUGGGGAUAUGCAUUUAUCCAACAAUAAGUAUUUCAUAUUUCUUUUUGACAGUAGGUAGAGGUAUUUGAAAACUUCCAAUAGUGAUUGUCGGAGAGUUUUCAAUAACAUUAAUACCAUUCACUUGGAAUUGUUUCUUCGGAAAGUGCACCGUAUGCUCAUUGCCAUUAAUAUGAAAAGUGACCUUGCUUUUAUUGCAAUCAAUAACAGCCCCUGGAGUAUUCAAGAAGGGUCUACCAAGGAUAAUCGACAUAUUGUCGUCCUCGGGCAUCUCAAGUAUAACAAAGUCAGUCAAAGUAGUAACAUUAGCAACAACAACGGGCACAUCCUCACAGAUACCGAUGGGUAUGGCAGUUGAUUUGUCAGCCAUUUGCAAAGAUAUUUCAGUAAGUGUGAGUUUAUUCAAGUCAAGUCUUUUAUAUAAAGAGAAAGGCAUAACACUAACACCAGCUCCUAAAUCACACAAAGCCAUUUUCACAUAAUUCUUUUUGAUAGAGCAAGGUAUAGCUGGUAUUCCAAAAUCUCCAAGUUUUUAGGAACUCCAUCUUUAAAAGUAUAAUUAGCAAGCAUAGUGGAGAUUUCAGCAUUCGGUAUUUUUCUCUUAUUUGUGAUGAUGUCUUUCAUAUACUUUGCAUAAGGAAGCAUUUUCAAGAUAUCAGUCAAGCGAGGACGCAAAAGACUGGCCUCAGCAUUUCAGCAAAGCAUUCAAAUUCUUCUUCAUCUUUCUUUUUAGUUGACUUGGGUGGAAAAGGCAUAGGUUUUUGAACCCACGGUUCUCUUUCUUUACCGUGUUUUCUAGCAACAAAGUCUCUUUUGUCAUAUCUUUUAUUUUUAGGUUGCGGGUUAUCAAGAUCAACAGGUGGUUCUAUCUCAACAUCAUUGUCUGGUUCUUUUUCAUUGGAUUGAGAGUCUUCAUGAACCUCAUCAUUAUCUUUUUCAUUAUCAGUAGGUGAGUGUUCAUUACCAUAUUGAGUUUCAGCAUCAGAUAUAGAAAUUCCAUUAUCAUUAUCAGGCGGUUUUUCUAUUUCAGGUUCACUAGAAGUAUGCAAAGUCCUAUCCUUUUUCUUUUUCUUUCUAGAAGGACUAGGUGGAUUAGUGUUAACUCUUUGUGUGUAAUGACCCGACCUGAAAUCGGUCAAGUCUCUGUGUAGCUGUACCAUCCCAAGAUCAUGCUGGCACACACAGUACAUUGAUGCAAAGAUUCAAAGUUCAAUCACACCUGAAUUUAUUACACGAUUCUCAUAUCGAGUCUUUAUUACAUCAUAAUAAAUUCGGCCGAAGGCCAACUCAUGAGAAAUAAACUAAAUAAAGCUGCGGAAGCGUAGACGAAUAGCGAGUCCAUCCGACUCCAAAGGGCAAUCGCCAAGCGUGGAUCGUAGCCUCACUCUUGGUCGGAAAACUCCUCUGCAACAUAAGACGUUGCAGCCGUGUAGGUCAGCAUUUUGAAUAUGCUGGCAAGUCAUGAAAAGAGAACAACAAUAAAACUACUAAUACUAUAUGCAAUUUGGCCGUGGGGCUCUAAGUUUCAUUGUUUUGCGAAAAAGCCGGUUUUUCCCUACAACAAGGACUUGUUUGCAAUUACUACAACAUUGUUGGUAGUUAUUGAGAUGGUUCCGCCAACCAAUGUCUCAUUCCCAAUUAUUAAAUAACCCCCUCAAUUAAUUUAUUAAGUUCAGUGUUGAGAUAUCCGAAAUACUCCAAUUCCAGAGGCUCAUUUGUCCGUAACCGGGGACACGGCUAAUCGAUUAGGUUGUUACUCUGCAGAGGUUUGUGCACUUUACCCGCAAGAAACGUUCCCUCCUUUUAAGUCUUCGCACUGCCUGGUGUUUGAAGACGGGACGAACGAAACAGGGUCUUCCGAAGAGUUCCUCUGGGCCACUGCCGGUGCCCAUCCAAUCCUACCGUUCUUCUACAUCUCGUAGCACCGUCCGGCCAGAGUCACGCCUAGGGUCAACCAAGCCAGAGCCCAUAAUGGCUUGCGGCUGCACAGGUAAGCUUCCGGUCAAUGGGGUAUCCAUCCGUCUCUUCGUGGCUGGGUGAAGCUUUCCGCAAGAUGUCAUGGCGCUUCUCCAUGCAUCCCGGCCAUCCGCUGGUUUCUCCAGGGUGCCCGUCAACCGUCCUCCACCCAGUAGUGAAUUUUGAAGUCCAUCUUGAGCUUGACGUCAUGGGGUUGUCAUCAUCUUGACUCUCACAUCUCCCUUAUGAAUCACUCAACCAACCCCGUCUACGAGCAUAGCAAAAUAAACUACAUCGUCCCGGGCAUUGGUAACAAGGGAGAAGGGUUCAUCCUACCUCAUGAUACUACUUAAGAACAUAACUUAACAAAAUUCUCCUACUGCAUGCAUGGUGGGGAGGUAUAACUCUAAUGCAAUAAAAUCAUAGGUAUUGUAAAAACAUGAUCAAAUGACUUGCCUGGCUGAUGGUCUUCGAAAGCUAGCGACUCGUAAUAGCAGGCUUCGCACUCCGGAAAUUCUACCGAGUCAAACAAUAGCACAAAUAAGUAUAGCACAAUAUAACAUAACAGCAAGUUGAACUAAAACACCCACGUACUCAAACCAAAACCAAAGAAAAACUCGGAGAAAACAAAUCAAGGUUUUCAUCAUAUCAAGCAACAACUAAGAAAUAGUUUUACACAACUAAAACCUUUCUUAACAGAACCUAAGCAUUGGUUUUUCUAACUAACAGAAGGAAAAACAUCAUACAAACUAGGAGCAAAAAGAAUCACAUCAAAAGCUAUUAUAGAACUCCUAUUAUGCCUAAAACAAUGCUAGCAAAGAAAAUAAGAUAAAAAUUUUAUUCUACUGUAAAUAAAAGUUCAUCCUCUGUAGCUACAGAAACUAAUCUAAAAUAAACUAUAACAUAACAAAAAUAAAAUUAUUUACUAACUAGAACAGUAGGAAAACAGUAGCUAGCUAAAUAAACAAGAAAAACUUGAUUUCGACAUAAAACUAAUUGUUUAUUAAAUCUAAAAUACCAAAACAAGUUCCUACUGCUAGGCAUGGUCAAAACUAAGCAGUAGAAAAAGAAUCACAAAAAUAAUAAUAAUCCUAACUCAAUUUAUGGCAGAAAAACUAAUCUGUUUAAAUCUAAUAUAAAACUAUUUCUAAUAAUUUAAACAUGGCUAAACAUAUUUUCUACAGAAACUACAACAAAUUUGCAAACUCAUAAAAAAAGAAUUAACUAAAAAUAAUAAACCGACUAAAAGAAAUAGCAAAAACAAAAACAGAACUAUUCUGCUAAAAAACAGAAACUGAAAAAAAACAACUAGCGCUGCUGGGCUAUCUAACGCUCAGGCGUAAUAUAACCUAGAGGUGCCCGCGGCUAAACAGAAAACCGACUGGUUCGAUCUAACAAAAAAAAACCAUAAGUAAAACCGAUCUAUUAAAUAAAACCGUACCCCUUCGUUGUUUCUAUUCUAGGCCAUACAUGCGAGAUCCAACGGUGGAGGGGAGCUCGGGCUUACAGCGUCGGCAGCGACGAACGGAGACGACGGCGGCGGCUCGGGCGUUGGCGGUGCGGCGGCUCCGGUAGUCGGGGAGGUCGGCGAAGGUGUCGGAGAGGUGCGGCGAAGCGUGGCGAGGUCGAGGGUGGUCUCGGUGAUGGUCGAAGAUGACGGAGGCGAGUGGGACGAGCUCGGCGGGGCUCCUGGUGCUCUGCAACUCCGGCGGCGGGCGGUGAUGCUCGGGGCGGAGGCUUCGGUCGUUCCUGGGCGACCAAACCUUGUCAAAAAGGUGGGAAACGGCGAGGGGAGUGCUUGGAUGGAAAGAGGGUUCGAGGUGGUGCUCACCGGCGGCGAACGUGGCGGCGAACCGAGGCGGCAGCGGCGAGAUCCAAAGGAGGAGGGCGUGAGCUGUGGUGCGUUUCAGGCUAGGGUUUUUGGGGGGUUCGGGAGAGGAGAGCGAGGGGAACUUAUAGGACAUGGACUUGGACGAGGGGGCGACGCGGGAUCGCGAUCCCGAGAAGAUCGCGGUGUCGGGCGCGCUCUGCGCGUGCUCCGGUGCGGCGUGCCGUGCGCGAGGGGAAAGAGAGAGGUGGGGCCAGCGCGUCAGUGAGAGAGAGAGGGAGAGAGGAUCGGGCGACCGAUCGGGAGAGGGUUCGGGCGUGCGGGCGCGCUGGGGCAGGCCGGUGCGGUCGGCUGGCUGGGCCGGCUGGCUCCUGGGGCUUUCCCUUUUUUUUUGAAAUAGAGGGAAGGAAAAAUAUAAAAAUAUUUUUUUUAUAGGACAUAUAUAUAUAUCAAAAUACUCAGGGGAAUUAAUCCUACAACGUGGACAUUUUUCCAGAGGUAAAACUCAAACUAAAAAAAAACAAUUUCUGGAAAUUCCAAAUAAAAUUCAGAUUCGAAUUCAAACUUUUUGGCAAUACAUUUCUUCUGACAUUUUUGGAGUGUCAUGUUAGCUCCUCUCAUACUUUUGAUCAAGUAUUUGUUAGGGAUAUUUGAAAUAAAUUUCAAUGCCAAAUCAAGUUCAAAUUCACAACACAAACUCAACUGCCUCUGAAAUUUUCAAAUGCCACUCAAUUUCAAUCAAAAUGCAUAGAUGCUUAGCUAAUAAUUGUAAAACAUUCCAAAUUGAAAAUUUGGGAUGUUACAAACCUACCCACCUUAAGAUGAAUCUCGCCCUCGAGAUUCGGGUUGGCUAGCAAAUAGGUGCGCGUGGUCUCGGCGGAGGUCUUCUUGUCGCUCCCAGGUGGCUUCCUCCUCGGAAUGAUGACUCCACAGAACCUUGCAAAACUUGAUGAUCUUGCUGCGGGUGACUCUGUUUGCAGUCUCGAGAAUUCAGACGGGUUUCUCCUUAUAAGUCAGAUCACUGUCGAGCUGUAUGGCCUCUAGGGGCACAGUGUCUCUCAACGAAAUUUCGGCCAUCUCAGCAUGGCAUUUCUUCAGCUGAGAAACAUGGAAGACAUCUUGAACUCCGGACAAUCCUUCCGGCAAUUCCAGCUUGUAAGCGACUUCUCCACGAUGUUCGAGGAUUUUGUAGGGGCCAAUGAACCUGGGUGCCAACUUUCCUUUAACACCGAACCUCUUGAUUCCUCGAAGUGGGGACACACGGAGAUAUGCUCGGUCUCCAACUUCAUACGUUAUCUCCUUCCGUUUACUGUCGGCAUAACUCUUCUGUCUCGACUGGGCUAUCUUGAGUCUAUCUCGAAUCAGCUUGACCUUCUCUUCGGAGUCUCUGAUAAGAUCGGGACCAAAAAGUUUUCGGUCUCCAACACCAUCCCACAGCAAUGGUGUUCUACACCUCCUUCCGUAUAGAGCUUCGAAAGGGGCCAUCUUCAGACUGGUCUGAUAGCUGUUGUUGUACGAGAACUCUGCAUAUGGCAAGUUGUCAUCCCAGCUAGACCCAUAGUCUAGCGCACAGGCUCUCAACAUGUCCUCCAAAAUCUGGUUGACUCUCUCGGUCUGUCCAUCUGUCUGCGGAUGAAAAGCUGUACUGAACUCCAACCUCGUUCCCAAAGUUUCAUGCAACUGAUUCCAAAACUUUGAGGUAAAUUGUGUUCCUCUAUCUGACACGAUACUCCUCGGAACUCCAUGCAGACAUACGAUCCUGGUCAUGUAUAUCUUGGCUAACUUAGCGCUGGUAUAUGUGGUCUUCACGGGAAUGAAAUGAGCUACCUUGGUCAAGCGAUCAACCACUACCCAGAUAGAAUCAUAACCUGAACGGGUCCUCGGUAAUCCUGUGAUAAAAUCCAUUCCAAGUUUUUCCCAUUUCCACUCGGGUAUUGGCAAAGGUUGAAGUAACCCUGCCGGCUUAUGAUGUUCCGCCUUUACUCGCUGACAAACAUCGCAUACUGCUACGUACUCGGCAAUAUCCUUCUUCAUACCUGUCCACCAGAAACUUUCCUUCAAAUCCAGAUACAUCUUGGUGUUGCCUGGGUGAAUCGAGUAUGGUGAAUCAUGGGCCUCCUGAAGAAUUAACUUCCUGACCUCUGGGUCAUUAGGCACAUAGAUGCGAUCCUCAAACCAUAAAGUUCCGUGCUCAUCUUCACGAAAACCUUUCGCUUUUCCGUUACACAUCUUUUCCUUUAUCUCUGCAAUUUCCUUGUCUGUCUUCUGGGCCUCACGGAUUCUUUCGGUCAGAGUGGACUGUAUAUCCAAGGUGGCGACAAAUCCUCUCGGUACUAUCUCCAGUCGGAGCUCUCUGAGAUCGUCGGUUAAUUCCUGAGGUAAUCCUCCAGCUAUGAGGGUGUUCACAUAACUUUUAUGGCUCAAGGCAUCUGCUACAACAUUUGCCUUCCCUGGGUGAUAAUGCAAUCUCAUGUCAUAGUCCUUGAUCAAUUCAAGCCAUCUCCUCUGCCUGAGGUUCAAUUCCUUCUGCGUGAAAAUAUACUUCAGGCUCUUAUGAUCCGUGUAAACAUCACAACUAUUUCCGACGAGGAAAUGUCUCCAGGUCUUGAGUGCGUGCACUACGGCUGCUAACUCCAAAUCGUGUGUGGCAUAAUUCAUCUCGUGAGGUCGUAGCUGUCUGGAGGUAUAAGCUACAACUUUUCCUUCCUGCAUGAGCACUCCUCCGAGUCCUUGACGAGAAGCGUCACAAUAAACCUGGUAAUCCUUGUGUAUGUCCGGCAAAAUUAGCACUGGGGCUGUAACCAGACGUUUCUUCAGCUCCUGAAAACUGGCUUCACAAUCCUCGGUCCAAAUGUACUUGGCUUCCUUCUUCAACAGCUCAGUCAUAGGCUUGGCAAUCUUGGAGAAAUUCUCAAUAAACCUCCGAUAAUAUCCUGCGAGUCCGAGAAAACUGCGGAUCUCCUUGACUGAGGUGGGGGACUGCCAGUUGGUGACCGAUUCGACCUUGGUGGGGUCGACUGCUAUUCCUUCUCCUGAAAUAACAUGUCCGAGGAAUCCGACUUCCUUUAGCCAAAAUUCACAUUUGCUGAACUUGGCAUAUAACUGAUGUUCCCGAAGUUUCUCCAGAACUAGACGCAGAUGUUCCUUAUGCUCUUCCUCGCUCUUGGAGAAAACCAAUAUGUCAUCAAUGAACACCACGACAAACUUGUCCAGACAUUCCAUAAAUACCUUGUUCAUCAUGCUCAUGAAAUACGCAGGGGCAUUAGUUAAUCCGAAUGACAUGACGGUAUACUCAUAUAAACCAUACCUGGUGGUGAAAGCUGUUUUGGUUAUAUCCUGUUCACGAAUCUUCAACUGAUGAUACCCUGAUCGAAGAUCGAUCUUGGAGAAUACCUUGGCUCCAACUAGUUGAUCAAAUAAAUCAUUAAUCAUCGGUAGAGGGUACUUGUUCUUGAUGGUCACAUCAUUCAAUGAACGAUAAUCCACAACCAUUCUCAGGGUUCCAUCCUUCUUUUCUACCAAAAGAACUAGGGCUCCCCAAGGUGACGAGCUUGGGCGAAUAUAUCCUUUCUCCAAUAGCUCCUUAAUUUGCUUCUUGAUCUCUUCCAAAUCAUUCGGGGGCAUCCGAUAGGGUCUCUUGGAUAUUGGGGCUGUGCCGGGCAAUAACUCAAUCAAAAACUCAAUGUCUCUGUCAGGUGGCAUUCCUGGUAACUCCUUUGGAAACACAUCGGGAAAAUCUUGCACUACGGGCACUUCCUCCUGAACAACACCCGUGAGGGAAUUCACCCGAUUCUUCAUCGGUGUGCGUCUGGAUACAUACUUGAUCCUUUUCUGCUCCGGGGUGGUGAGCAAAAUCGUCUUGCAAGCACAGUCGAUGUUUCCUUCAAACUUGGUCAACCAAUCCAUGCCUAGAAUUACAUCCAAACUCUGGGAUUCCAAUACUAUGAGGUCUGCGGGAAAAUCAUGGUUUCCGAUGCUGAGGGUCGAAUGACAGCCUAAGCCUGCCGUCAUCUCUCCUCCUGGGGAAGUGACCUGAAGCGGGGUUCUAAGGGUUCUAGUGGGCAACUCGUACUUUUCCACAACUACCCUUGAUAUGAAUGAAUGCGUUGCACCGGAAUCAAAGAGUACCAAUACUGGAUGUGAAUUUAAUAAAAACUUACCAACCACAGUGUCUGGCUGAUCAUAGACGUCCUCCACGUCAAGGUGAUUCACCUGAGCACGAGGAAAAGGGUUGGGCUUCUUUGCUGAGCUUCCAUUGCCGUUGCCGUUUCCAUUCCUCUGCUUGGCCUCCGGACAAUCGGUGGCAUAGUGUCCUGUCUUCUGGCACUUGAAACAGGUGAUAUGACUCAGAUCCUUCUGAGCCGGAGCAGGACGGUGCUGGUUGCCAUUGCCUCCAUUGCCUGACUUGGAGUUGUUGUCGUGGUUGCGAUUGUUCCCAUUCCCUCCAUGGUUAUGUCCUCCAUGAUUAUGUCCUCCAUGGGUGUGAUGGGUAUGUCCUCCUGAGUAUGGGGUAUAGCGGGGCUUCUGCUGAGCUCCGGAGUUGUACUUUCCCUGGCCAUAUUUCCGCUUGCGGCUAUCAAUCUGCUGCUGCUUGCCUUCAAGUAUGGUGGCCUUGUCUACCAGCUCCUGGUAGUUGUUGAAGGUAGCCACCAUUAGCUGCAUUCCUAGCUCAUCAUUGAGUCCCUCGAGAAACUUCUCUUGCUUUGCGGCAUCUGUGGCCACAUCAUCUGGGGCAUAGCGAGAUAAUUUGCUGAACUCAUCCACGUACUGCCCCACAGUACGGUUCCCCUGGCGUAAGUUGCGGAACUCACGCUUCUUCAGACUCAUGGCUCCAGCUGAGACAUGAGCGGUGCGGAAGGCCUGCUGGAACUCAGCCCAUGUCACGGUGGCGGCCAGAUAAGUGGCGGUGUAGUUCUCCCACCAAGAAGCUGCAGGUCCAUCAAGCUGAUGUGCGGCAAAGCGCACCUUCUCUGCAUCUGUGCAUCCAGCAGUGGCUAACUCCCUUCCGACCUUGCGGAGACAAUCAUCGGCCACAAUCGGCUCAGUGCUGCUAGAGAACACUGGCGGAUUCAGCCUUAGGAAGCGUGUCAAGUUGUCAACAGGGGGUGGUGGCGGUGGAUUGUUGUUGUUGUUGUUAUUCUGGUUCUGGAUGAGCAUCUGCAUCAGGGCAUUUUGCUGCUGGAUCAGCUGGGUGAGCUCCGGCGGAAAGUUGAAACCGGGGUCACGUCUCGGAGGCAUCUGGUGGUUUAGAGUGGAUGAGAAAUUAGAAUAGAACAAGGGUCUAAUGAGAAAAUAGCACUACCCAUAUGAAUGCACAAUCAUAAUCACACCAAUCAUUUAUUCAUUCAUCUCAAACAAGGUUCAAUCUGGGAUUACAAAAGAAAUCUCACGACUAAUCGAAAAUAACGGCCUAACUGAUCGACGAAAAAAUAAAAUAAAAAAUAAAGUAACAUGGUGGUCGACUAAAUGUCUUCAUCAAUUAUUCUUGCGUCCUCCGGUGCGGCGUCCUCUGGUGCGGCGUCUCCUCUUGCGGCUUCCUUCGGUGGAGCUCUCUUCAUAAUCCUGGUCAUUGCUUACGAGAGGUCCAUCAUCUCCACUCGGAAAAAGGUCUUCUCCCAGGUCUAUCUUCUCCUCCAGUGUGGCAAUAUAUUUAUCCCGGACCUCGAUUCUCUCCAAAAAAUCCUUGACUUCUUCUUCAUGUUCAAGGAAGUCCGCGCGUGCUUUCUCCUCCAGUUCCAGUUCACGGAACAACAACCUCCUGUGUACCUUCGAGUUUCGGCGCGUCUGGAUUUCCCGGUUCCUGAUGAGACUCUCCAAGUCUUGGACAUAUGAAAGAAUGGAGUCGUCCUCUACGGUACGGAUGAUAUCUCCAUUCCUAGCUCUGCGAGAAAUCAUGGCGAGGUCUGAUGGGUCGAGCUCGGCCCUGUACUCUUCUCGGAGAUGUCCAAGUGCACGAUAAAUCGCCAUGUCUCUUCCGAGGAUCCAAGUGAAAUCGGUAAACUCAAAGUCAAUGGGCUCUGAAUGUCCUCCGAAGGUCCUCCCUGGAAUGUGCACCAUAAUCCUGUAGCGGGUAUCCGUCGGAAGUGCAUUGAUAGGCUUCCCGGUGAUUGAGGGCAGCGCAAUCUUCAACUUUUUCACGAUCUGAACCAGCUUCUUGCCGAGAAGCAUCGUCUCAUCUGGCUGGCAAAACUCCGGUAGUAGAACUGGGGUGAACUCUGCGGCCAUCUAGAAUGUUGAAAAUCGGAGAGAAGUCAGAAAUGAACAGGGAAGAAUUACGGGAUGAUAAGGACAUAAAAUAAAAUAGUCUCUUCGUAUGGCUUUCCGAUCCUAGGGGUUACGUCCUACGGUCAGCGUGUGCUCUGAAUACCAUCUCUGUAACGACCCGACCUGAAAUCGGUCAAGUCUCUGUGUAGCUGUACCAUCCCAAGAUCAUGCUGGCACACACAGUACAUUGAUGCAAAGAUUCGAAGUUCAAUCACACCUGAAUUUAUUACACGAUUCUCAUAUCGAGUCUUUAUUACGUCAUAAUAAAUUCGGCCGAAGGCCAACUCAUGAGAAAUAAACUAAAUAAAGCUGCGGAAGCGUAGACAAAUAGCGAGUCCAUCCGACUCCAAAGGGCAAUCGCCAAGCGUGGAUCGUAGCCUCACUCCUGGUCGGAAAACUCCUCUGCAACAUAAGAUGUUGCAGCCGUGUAGGUCAGCAUUUUGAAUAUGCUGGCAAGUCAUGAAAAGAGAACAACAAUAAAACUACUAAUACUAUAUGCAAUUUGGCUGUGGGGCUCUAAGUUUCAUUGUUUUGCGAAAAAGCCGGUUUUUCCCUACAACAAGGACUUGUUUGCAAUUACUACAACAUUGUUGGUAGUUAUUGAGAUGGUUCCGCCAACCAAUGUCUCAUUCCCAAUUAUUAAAUAACCCCCUCAAUUAAUUUAUUAAGUUCAGUGUUGAGAUAUCCGAAAUACUCCAAUUCCAGAGGCUCAUUUGUCCGUAACCGGGGACACGGCUAAUCGAUUAGGUUGUUACUCUGCAGAGGUUUGUGCACUUUACCCGCAAGAAACGUUCCCUCCUUUUAAGUCUUCGCACUGCCUGGUGUUUGAAGACGGGACGAACGAAACAGGGUCUUCCGAAGAGUUCCUCUGGGCCACUGCCGGUGCCCAUCCAAUCCUACCGUUCUUCUACAUCUCGUAGCACCGUCCGGCCAGAGUCACGCCUAGGGUCAACCAAGCCAGAGCCCAUAAUGGCUUGCGGCUGCACAGGUAAGCUUCCGGUCAAUGGGGUAUCCAUCCGUCUCUUCGUGGCUGGGUGAAGCUUUCCGCAAGAUGUCAUGGCGCUUCUCCAUGCAUCCCGGCCAUCCGCUGGUUUCUCCAGGGUGCCCGUCAACCGUCCUCCACCCAGUAGUGAAUUUUGAAGUCCAUCUUGAGCUUGACGUCAUGGGGUUGUCAUCAUCUUGACUCUCACAUCUCCCUAAUGAAUCACUCAACCAACCCCGUCUACGAGCAUAGCAAAAUAAACUACAUCGUCCCGGGCAUUGGUAACAAGGGAGAAGGGUUCAUCCUACCUCAUGAUACUACUUAAGGACAUAACUUAACAAAAUUCUCCUACUGCAUGCAUGGUGGGGAGGUAUAAGUCUAAUGCAAUAAAAUCAUAGGUAUUGUAAAAACAUGAUCAAAUGACUUGCCUGGCUGACGGUCUUCGAAAGCUAGCGACUCGUAAUAGCAGGCUUCGCACUCCGGAAAUUCUACCGAGUCAAACAAUAGCACAAAUAAGUAUAGCACAAUAUAACAUAACAGCAAGUUGAACUAAAACACCCACGUACUCAAACCAAAACCAAAGAAAAACUCGGAGAAAACAAAUCAAGGUUUUCAUCAUAUCAAGCAACAACUAAGAAAUAGUUUUACACAACUAAAACUUUUCUUAACAGAACCUAAGCAUUGGUUUUGCUAACUAACAGAAGGAAAAACAUCAUACAAACUAGGAGCAAAAAGAAUCACAUCAAAAGCUAUUAUAGAACUCCUAUUAUGCCUAAAACAAUGCUGGCAAAGAAAAUAAGAUCAAAAUUUUAUUCUACUGUAAAUAAAAGUUCAUCCUCUGUAGCUACAGAAACUAAUCUAAAAUAAACUAUAACAUAACAAAAAUAAAAUUAUUUACUAACUAGAACAGUAGGAAAACAGUAGCUAGCUAAAUAAACAAGAAAAACUUGAUUUCGACAUAAAACUAAUUGUUUAUUAAAUCUAAAAUACCAAAACAAGUUCCUACUGCUAGGCAUGGUCAAAACUAAGAAGUAGAAAAAGAAUCACAAAAAAAAAAA
RNAcentral lists this long non-coding RNA (56291 nucleotides) under Triticum aestivum (bread wheat). RNAcentral's name for it is "long non-coding RNA (TAES_LNC013332)". Lineage: Eukaryota; Viridiplantae; Streptophyta; Magnoliopsida; Poales; Poaceae. The record is from RNAcentral.